UUUAAUAUCCACUAAUGGCUAAGGCAAUGAGUGAGAGGACGUGGUGGAAGGAAGAUUGAAGCCGCCAGGCGACUUGUCCACUGCAUCUGUAUGCAUGCCUCUCAAUUUAUUUACUAUAAAAAUAGGCACCGCUAGCUACUUCCCCUCUCCAAACCACACUGACACACUACCUGGGUACUGAAGCAUAUCACUUCCCCUUUAAAUUAUUACCCUAAAAUGGGACUCGGCCGCUUUCUUCUUGUGCUUAUAGUAGCUCUUGCGGCUGCUUUAUCACUGACCACUAUUCCUUCUCAGGCCGCCCAAUUCGACGAAGAGAAGCUUUUUAUUCCCAAGUUUCGGCCCAAGGUUCCCAAGAAGUUUCCCAAGUUCCCCAAGUUUAAGUCACCUCCUCCCCCGAAACCCUAGUUGGUCAUCCAUAUCAAUUGGGCAUCGAUCAAUCGUCAUAUAUAUAUAUAUAUAUAUUGUUGGAAUUAUGAAAUAAGGCGUUACGCCGUCGUCGUAUCGUAUGUAUUAUGGUGUUCUUUAUGGAUACUCUCCUCCCUUCCAUCUAAUCGGUGUCUUUUGUGAGUUGGUGUAUAGCCUGAAUACUGUGGCAUGUAUGUAUUUCCUGACUAUGGCAGGAUUAUAAGUUCUAUCAAACUAUAUUUCUGUUUUAAUUCCGCCCACAUUAUACAUAAGUCUUUAAUAUGUUUAGAGUAGAGUCAAUAUUCUUCUUCCAUAACAUGAAAAUGAUCCUUCUUUUCGUGGAUUGGAGGUGUGAAACAGUGAAGUGGUUGUGCUUCUUGCUGCCCAAAACCCACAAGUGAUAAAACCUAAUAAAAGAAAGGGCUAAAGAUGCAUGUGGUCGCCACUUGCCAGAGAUGGGAGGCGGCACGGCUCAAGGAUGGUCGGAGUUGGAAGAGCAGGGUGAGGGAGGGGAAGCUCUCUGCUGGCAGAGGCGAAGGGAAGGGGGCCAAGUGGUUGUCGUGCACACCACUUUCCCAAUAAACAAAUUACAAAUUAAUAUAUAAUUUGACGUUAAAAACCUACAUUAUUUAAACUUUAAAUACUACUUCAAUAAUUCGAAACUCCUAUAACUUUAUUACAAUACAUUUUGUAUAUAUAUUAUCUCAAAUUAAGUAUAUAAAAUAAUUGUUAAUAAAGAAUUUUUUAUAAUAACUUAUAUCAAAACAAACUUCGCAAUCAAAUAAAACGUGAAUUGUUGAAUGAUUCUCCGAUGGAUCUGUAUCCGUAAAAAAAAUAUUUGCUUAUUUUAAUCUAGGCCGUUAGAUCCUAAAAAGGAUGAAUAGAGAGUUGUUAUUGAACCUUGUUGGACCAAGGGUAGAUGGACCGAACGAUUGAUUGGAAGCUGGGCUCAAUUAGUGGCUGGUGGACGACUACAUGAUAACACUAGGGGGACUAGUGAAGUUGCAAACUUUAAUUUCCAGAUAGCUUCGUUUUGUUGGGCCACUGCUAUAAGAAUUAUUGGACUUGUGGAUUAUAUUAUAAAUGAGUAAAAUGUGGGUCCAUGCUAUUAUAGUUCUAAGUUAUUGUACUGCAUGCUAUUAUAUUUAAGAUUUUAUAUCGAAUAUUAUUAUCAUAAUAAUUUAAGUGCAUUUAUCGAUUUUUAUAGAUUUUCUCAGAUCCAGCAGGUUACUAAACUGAUGUGGCUACUACAUCAGAUAUCACAUCAGAAUGUAAUAUUAUAAAUAAAAAUAUAAAAUAACAUAAAAAAAUUAAAAUAAAGUAAUUUAAAUUCAAUAAUUUUAAAUAUUAAAAAAAAUUGAGACCCUCCUCCUUUCAAUUGGUUGCUAUGUGGUCGUCCGACUCUCAGGUGCGGCGACACCUCUCCUCCAUUGUUGCCACCAUUUACGACCUCUUCCUCCGUUUUUCUCGGUGACCUCCGGGUCACACUCCAUCGAUGCCUGUAGAGUUGGGAGCAGCGGAAUUGAAGGGUCAAGCUAAUUACGAAUGGGGUCUUAAAGCUUGUGCGGCAAAUUGAAGAGUCAAUGUUGGAGAGGAACUCAUUGGCUUCUUUUGUCUCCCGUUAGCAGCGGCAGACUCCCCUAUAAAUGGUCGGCCUCGAUUUCCCAUUAUUAACCUAGCUAUGAGUUAGAACCAACAAAAUCGCAUCCCUCAAAUACUUCUUUAUACAUCGGCCAAUGAACACAAAACAUCAUCUUCUAAUUUCUUCUUCCUCCACUGGUCUGUUGUGGGUUGAUUCAUAUUUCAAGCGCCACUGCUCGAUUUUAUUUAUUGAUUACGAAGUUGCAAUCAUAACCCUAAAUCUCCACUCGAACCCUAAUCGAAGUUAAAUCAAUGUUGAACUUCAACUGAAGCUCGACUGAAAUCUUGAAUUGUGGUGGCGGUGAAGCUCAACCAAGGGAAGAAGGAACGAUGACGGGGACGAACGCCUCAUCGGAAGAAGAUGAAAAAGAGGACGUGUGGAGGAGACAAAAUAAUUUUUUAUAUAUUAUUUAAGAGUUAUAGUAUGAUAUGGUAAUAUCUUAGAUUUUUUUUAUAGUUAGAUGUGGCAAUCACGUCAAUUUGAUAAUCUGUUAAAUAUAAAAAUACUUACAACAACGAUAAGUGCAUUUAAAUUAUUAUUAUAAUAACAUUCAUUGUAAAGUUUAAAAUAUAAUGAUAUAAGAUAUAAUAAUUUAAAAUUAUAGUAACAUCCACGUCAUUUACUCCACGUCAUUUACUCUGUUAUAAAUAGAGGGUCUGCGCAGAGUGUGGUGGGUCUAAAGACUCUAAACAGAACCUUGUCUUUUUAGUGAAUAUAUCCAAACAAAANNNNNNNNNNNNNNNNNNNNNNNNNNNNNNNNNNNNNNNNNNNNNNNNNNNNNNNNNNNNNNNNNNNNNNNNNNNNNNNNNNNNNNNNNNNNNNNNNNNNNNNNNNNNNNNNNNNNNNNNNNNNNNNNNNNNNNNNNNNNNNNNNNNNNNNNNNNNNNNNNNNNNNNNNNNNNNNNNNNNNNNNNNNNNNNNNNNNNNNNNNNNNNNNNNNNNNNNNNNNNNNNNNNNNNNNNNNNNNNNNNNNNNNNNNNNNNNNNNNNNNNNNNNNNNNNNNNNNNNNNNNNNNNNNNNNNNNNNNNNNNNNNNNNNNNNNNNNNNNNNNNNNNNNNNNNNNNNNNNNNNNNNNNNNNNNNNNNNNNNNNNNNNNNNNNNNNNNNNNNNNNNNNNNNNNNNNNNNNNNNNNNNNNNNNNNNNNNNNNNNNNNNNNNNNNNNNNNNNNNNNNNNNNNNNNNNNNNNNNNNNNNNNNNNNNNNNNNNNNNNNNNNNNNNNNNNNNNNNNNNNNNNNNNNNNNNNNNNNNNNNNNNNNNNNNNNNNNNNNNNNNNNNNNNNNNNNNNNNNNNNNNNNNNNNNNNNNNNNNNNNNNNNNNNNNNNNNNNNNNNNNNNNNNNNNNNNNNNNNNNNNNNNNNNNNNNNNNNNNNNNNNNNNNNNNNNNNNNNNNNNNNNNNNNNNNNNNNNNNNNNNNNNNNNNNNNNNNNNNNNNNNNNNNNNNNNNNNNNNNNNNNNNNNNNNNNNNNNNNNNNNNNNNNNNNNNNNNNNNNNNNNNNNNNNNNNNNNNNNNNNNNNNNNNNNNNNNNNNNNNNNNNNNNNNNNNNNNNNNNNNNNNNNNNNNNNNNNNNNNNNNNNNNNNNNNNNNNNNNNNNNNNNNNNNNNNNNNNNNNNNNNNNNNNNNNNNNNNNNNNNNNNNNNNNNNNNNNNNNNNNNNNNNNNNNNNNNNNNNNNNNNNNNNNNNNNNNNNNNNNNNNNNNNNNNNNNNNNNNNNNNNNNNNNNNNNNNNNNNNNNNNNNNNNNNNNNNNNNNNNNNNCAUCGGACUUUUAAAGUAAAUAAUAAUGGAUGGAUAACCUUUUGAAAAUUUUAUUCAUUGUUAAUAUUUAUUUUUAACAUUGCUUUAACUUUAACAUGUAAAAAGAGUUUAAGAACUAAAUCAGUCCAUGUGGCGUAAGACAUAAGAAUGAUAAUAUGUUGUCCCAUGUAUAAAUGAAAAAGAGCUGAUAUUGUAGUGCCAAUUUUUUAAUAAGAGUUAUAGGUAAAAUUAAAUUGAAAAAAUAAUAAUUUAAAUUAAACUGUUUAAUGAUAAUAUCUGUUGAACUCAAAUCAGGUCAAAAAAGGUAAAAUACGAAUUAGCUGGAUAGCUUUGGGAUAUUAUUGAACUCAAAUCAUGUGUAUCUAAACUCACCAACCAAGUUUCGAUUAACCCUAAUUGCAAACAUAAAUAGAAUGGAAGAGACACCAAAGUUGGUCACACAGUUUAAACAACAACAUGUCUGCAGAGUUUCCACAUCGUCAUAAAAAUUCAAAUCCAGACCCAAAGAAAUCGCCGUAGAUUUUCAAAUCUCGAUCUCAUCCAUUAGAUCUAGUUUUGAUUCAUGUAAUAUUGCAAAUUGGAGUAGGUAGUUCAGUCAUUUUAUUAUUAUUAUAUUCCCUCCAAAAUUUCAGCAACCACCACCCCCAACCGAGGGUCCGCCGUCGAUGCAAUUCCAGAUUCUCUCCAGUGACUUUUCUGGCAGUCUCAAUUAAAUUUUCUGUCCAGUCUUUGUAAUAGGUUACAAUGGCCUAUAUAAAAUUACACGAGUAACAAGUUGGAAAAGAUCGAAACCAGUUGCGGACGAGUAUAACCUGUUACAUGUAAUAGGUUAUAAUAUUUUUCGACUGAUUAUCACCAUAUGUAACAUGGUAUAAUCACAUGUAACUAAUUACACAAAAACUGAUUAUAAUCAUUUGUAACUAGUUAUGAUCACCGACCGAUGAAUCAGCGACCGGGGUCUGACCACCUUUGCCUAGUGGAGCCUGGAAGCUCACCUGGUGCCUUGGCUACGCCCCUCACCAUAAGACUCCCUUCUCACGGUAGAAUGAUUUGGAGUCAUCCAUUGCAAUUACCACCACGUUACACUGUCGGCAUCCAUUGCAAUUUGCAAGAUGUCGAUUGCUUUAGCUUAACUGUAAAAGACAGCGCCGCAUUAAUUAUCAUUCACAACUUAAUUAAUGAGCCCAACUCCAUUUCUUAGAGGACAACGAAGGCAAGUCUCCUCUCUGCGCCAAAUUUCCCAACUUUCCAACUAAUUAGCAUUGAUUCCUCAACCAACUCCAAUCAGCAUUACUAUAAAAAUACGUACCGGUACUUCUCCUUUCCAAACCACACUACUACUGAAGCAUAUCAGUCCAAUUAGCCUAAAAUGGAACUCAGCCACUUCCUACUUGUGCUUAUAGUGGCUCUAGCGGCUGCUAUAUCACUGAGCACCAUUCCGUCCGAGGCUGCCGAAUUCGUCGAAGAGAAGCCCUUUUUCAAGAAGAAGCUGCCCAAGUUUGAUUAUCCUAAGCCAUACCAUUACCACCACCCACUCUUCAAGAAGCCGGUCGAUCCUUUCCACAAGCCACUGAUUAAGCCGCUGCCCAAGAAGGUUUACCCCAAGUUCAAGUACCCUAAGUAUGGCCACUAUCACCCUGGACACCCUCCUGUUGAGAAACCCUGAUCGUUAUUGGAUCAUCAAUCAAUUGGUCAUCGAUCAAUCGUCAUAUUUUAUAUAUAUAUAUGAAUAUUGUUAAGAGUGUAUGAAAUAAGUAUGUACUAUGGUGUUCUUUAUAUAAAUCAUCUUUCUAGGUGAUCAAUGCGUUUGUGAGUUGGUGUGUAGCCUGAAUACUGUGGCAUGUAUCCAUUUCCUGACUAUGACAGGAUUGUAAGUUCAAUCAAAGUAUAUUUCUAUUUCCGCCACAUUAUAAGUCUCUACUAUGUGUAGACUGUAGAUUAGAUUCUUCAUGUGGGGAAUGUGAAGCCCGUAAUCUUGGAGUCAACAAUGAAAGCCCGUUGGUACGAGUCCAUUGAGUCUUGAAGAAGUGAUGAUGGCCCAUUUACAGUCAACAACGAUAACAACCAGCCGAUUUCCAGCAAUUUGGAGGUUAAGGGAGUGAGAUUGGAUUAUGCCAAGCUGAUUAAUAUGAACUCAAUAACAGACUUCGAAAUAAAAUGAAAAGAAAUAUUUUUAAAGUCGUCAAAAUGAAAUUAAUAUUGAUUUUGUUGGAUUUAUUUUUGAAAAACAAGUAUUUGUAUAUAAAAAAUAUGAAAAUCCGAUUUAAAUUAAAAGAGUUAUAUUAAUUUUUUUUAAUGUAAAUAUAAAAUUAGUUUCCAAAACUAUCCAAAUUACUUAUUGUUAAAUCUGGACCUUUACGUAUUAUUUGGUAUCAAAUAAAUAAAAAAUUCAUUUUAUUNUUUAUUUCAAAAAUGAAUCGCUUGUAGAUUUCUUUUUGAAAUGGAUUCCUAUGUUUGGAAAUGCCAUAUUAAAUCUUUAAAAAUAAAUUGAAUUAUAUUCCCAAAUCAGAAUUGAAUUAUAUUAAAAGUUUUCACAUAUACCUUUUCAACUUUCACAUAUACCUUUUCAGCAGACAUGUCGUUACUAUUACUUAUUGACUGGAAGAGCUUAUUAAAUUAGCAACUAUAUCACUAUACCGACAUACCAAAAAAGUAAUAACAAUUAACAAAGAACGAAUGCAUAUGGUGGCAACCAGAACAAUUCAUAAUUAGAAAAUAUGAUGGAUAUUGAAUGAAGAAGAAGAAAGGAGGUAUCUAACCUCUUUCAAAUUGGUGUUUUGUUGUCGACAACAAGAAUGAAAAGGUUUGACCAAAUAGAGAGUCGGCCAACUCUAGUUAUACAUAUUAGGUUUGUUGACUCUGGUGUUAAUUUAAGGAUAAUACUCCGGUGGAAACAUGUACCGGGUGCAAAUGUGACGUGACGAGUUCUGAUUGUCCCUCUUAAUUUUUAGCCAUAAAACCCCUUGUUACAGCCUGAUUUCAGGGUUAUAAAUUUUUAAUAGAAAUUCCUAAAUUACCCCUUAGAAAAUCCUAGAGAAAACGCUCUUAUUAAAAUAUUAGUAUGAAUUUGUGUACUAUUAUUAUCCCAUGUUUAGUUAUGAUCUUGUUUAUACAUUAAUUUCAGUCAAAUUAGCAAUUGAAAUGAUUGUUUUAUAGUACAUGGUAGACUAAAUUGGAUAAAUUGAUUGUUAAAUUACGAUUUAUAUAUAUUAGUCGGAAUCGGUUCAUGAGAUAAGUUGUACGCUAGCGGUUAGAAUUUUUGGUUUGAAUAAUAUCUUACUCGUCGAGUAGAAACCCUAUUUUGAAAUCGAAUUGAUUUAUUUAGUUCGAGAAUUUUGACUUCCUAACUCACUGUGAUAAGCAUUAGUAUUGUUCGAUUAAUUAGUCGUGUUGACUAAUAAUGUAAGUUGGAGAUAAGCCUUUUAAUUAACAAAGUCAUGAACCUAGUGGAAUUAAAUUGGUAUUGAAUUAAUUUAUUAAUUCGAGGAUCCGAGGAGUUUGACUGUUGGGUUGACCAAGUUCAAAAGAUCGACGUGGUUCGAUUUAAUUAUCUGGUUGGCUAGAUAUCGGAGAUGGAGUCGAGCCUUUAGUUUAUUAGUUGGGAGUCUGGAGUAAUCUGGACCGUUAGAUGGAUCCUACUGUGAGAAGUGAAGCCUGUUGUGGUCAAGAGAAAUGAGUGGGUUGCUGCUUGUGUAACAAUGGAUUUUGGCUGUGAUCCUUGAGCCCAAUUGAAGUGAUGAUGACGUAAUGGUCUUGAACUGUUGGAUGGAUCGAACGGCAUGUAAGCCUCCGUAACUAUUUAAGCUUGAGAAUAUUUGGCACUGUUGGAUGGACCGAAUCGUAGUGGCAGAUCCGGCGAGAGGAGUCGAUGGCGACGAGUAGGCUACAACAGCUUCUUGUUGGUGACAGCAGUCCGGGAGAGGACGACAGUCAUCGACGGAGGCUCCAGGUGAAUCGAGAGAGAGGGCAAUGGAGGCGGCGUUGGCGAGCUUCCGCGGUGGCUGGAGAUCAAUCGGUGAGAGGAGGCGGUCGGGGACAUCGGAGGCACGUCCGGCGCGUCGGUGGAUAAGGAGCAACGGUGGACGAUCGGAGUGAACCAUGAUGUCUGAUCGACCGGGCAGUGGCUGAAAAUCGCGAUUCCAUAAUUGCUGGAACUCGCCGGAAUCUGGGGAGAGCUCGACGCCGGUGAGAGAGUUCGUCGGAGAAGAUAACUGGCAAAAGUGCAGCUGUUGAAGGUUUGAUGACUAUUUCAUAAAUCUGGAAAGUUAAGUGACCUCUGUGCUGUUUCUAGAAAUUUGGAGAUUGGACUGUACUCUGUGAAAGUUAGGUGACUAAUCUAUAAAUUCUGACUGUUCAGAGACUGAUCUAUAAUAGCCAGAGUUUGAUGACUGGUUAUAGAAUUUACCAAACUGCUUUGUGAAUGAGAGUUCUACCCCCUUUGAGUUUAAACUUGUUGCAACGGAGUAUUUGGAGUAUAACUUGACCGUUUGAACUUCAAAUGACGCACCGUCAGAAGUUGUGGAUUUGUGGCAGCAAAGAGAAUCACCUUGGAUCCGAUUCUGAGAUGUCGUCUCGUCAAUUAGGUGGGUGGUUUAAGGGGGUAAAUUCUUUUCGUUGUCGUAGGUUAGGUUUUAAUUAAUUUGAUGCAUUUAGUUUAUGCCAUGAUUCCAUGAUUGAGUGUUUAUUUAUGUAAUGUUAUUACUUUGAUGUUGUGCAAGUUGAGCCUCCUAUGUAAUGAUAAGGUUAGACUAGCUAUAAUGUUAGCAAUAAGAUCAGGUUAGACUAACGAUAACGUUAGAACGAUUAUGUUAGAAUUAUGAAAAGGAUAGAUGACGAGUGAGCAAUUAACAAGAACACCACAUCUAGAUGAUUAAUAGGGGGAUUAAAAGCAUGAACUCACUACCUAGACUAUCACCCACAUGAUUCGGGCCAAUAGUGCCCGCACGAUAUGUUGUCUAACGGAUACGUUCUCCCAGACAUCCACUAUUUUCACGAUAUGUUUUCUGACAGAUACGUUCUCCCAGACAUCCACGAUUUUCACGAUAUGUUGUUUGAGGAUACAUCCUCCCAAAUAUCCAUGAUUUUCACGAUUUGUGCAGUAGGCUAGUUAGUUGAAUUGGGGGACGCCCCACAAGAAAUAAGUUACCUUAGAUAAGGUGAAGAAUAGUGCAGGAAUCAUGUUAUAUAUUGUGACUUACUCGAAUACGAUGAUUAGGAUAUGACAAGUUACAAGAACCAUGAUACUAGGAUUCAUAAUGCAUCUAACAUGAUUGACUUUAGCUUCAAUCUUUCAUGAUAAAUAUUUUUUAUGAUUACUUGCUAUGUUAAGUGCUUAUGAGGAUUACAUAAAGUGAACUAUUUUAUGUAAUAUGUCUACUCAUUAAGUAUUAGUGAAUUUAUACCAUGAUGUUUCCUUAUUCAAGUAUGUUCAGUUAUGAUACUCUUAUGAUGCUCAUAAGAUGUGCCUAUAUGAUUAAGCUACAAUAUGAUAUGAUUAGGUAGCUAGUGAACAACAAGAACUACUCUAAGUCUAGACGAUUAAUAGAUGAUCUAGUAAUACAUACCUAUCUAGCUAGACCUUCAAUCCAUGUUUUCGGCAUACAAUCUUGGACCAAUAGAGAUCCAAUACUUAAUUAAUUGGGCCAUUAGGGACCCCUACGAUAAGACAUUAGGCCACUAGAGACCCUUAUGUUCGUAUUGGGCCAUUAGAGACCCAUAGUUCCUCUUAGCCUGUCAAGUGGAUGGUAUGACUAGUUAGUUGAGUUAUAGAAUGAUUACAAUUAUGAUAUCCUAGAAGGAUGAUGCUAGUAGAAGUUAGACAACCUUAGUAAUGGUUGCAUAGUAGAAGAAAUGAAUGUUAGCUCUAUAUGAUUAGAUGAAGUUGAAUAACAUGUUAGUUGUGCCUUUAUGUAAGUAUAUUAAUUAUUAAGAUUAGAGCACGAAAGACUGAUCCCAGAACCACCCACCAAGAUGUUUGAUAGUUGAUGCUGGAGCAUAAUGGAACAGAUUCGGGAUGUGGAUUGGUGGACUUAGUUUAAAUACAUUAAUUGUUUACAAGAGUUAAACAAGAGUUUAUAAUGAGACUUGAUUUCAUUUUCUUGUUGACUUUAUGUUAUGGCAGUUUCCGCUUCAGAUCCUUGAAUAAAAACCUCUAUUAGGAAUCAAUUGUAAGAAGAUGAAAUUUCUCCAUAAAUUUAUUUUUUUAUAAUUGAUGAGCAUUUGUAUUAUAAACAAAGGGUGUGGCUCAAAAGCAAGCCACACAUCGAGAGAGAGUUAGUUAUACAAGAGAUAGGGGGCAGAAACCAAAAUAAAACACUACCCCAAACAAAACCAGAAAAACACCAGCAACAACACCAUGGUAACACAGAGAAACCCAAAAAGCGCCCCUAAUCAAAUUGAAAUUACAAAACCUUGCUUGACCUUGAAAUUAUACGAUAUUUAGUGUAUGGAAGAUUUAUAGACAAAGAUGAUUCAACAACACUAUUCCUAUGAAAUGACACUAUUCCUAUGAAAUGAAUCUCCAGAAUUGUAAUGGGAGAGGUGUAUUUGAAAAAAAGUUGAAGGUUUCUGCGAUUUUAAUGGCCAAAUGACUUCUUCGAUUUCUUCUUCUUCUCAAGAAGAAGAUAAGGGAAUAAAUAUAAAAAUAAGAAAAAGAUGAAGAGGUUAAUGUUUGACAAAUUUUCACUAACCAAAAAAUAUUGGUGAUUGAUUUGAAGGUUAUUUCAUAUCUGGACUAAGUCGAUAUUUUUUAAUACAAAUAUAAAACCAGCCAAUAGUAUACUGCCACAUGGCCUUUAAACCCGAUACAUGUUUCCACCAGAAUGUCCGCUUGUAAUUAUUAGUUGAAGGUAGAUAAGUCAUUUAAUGUAAUUAGUAAAUUUCUGUGGAAUUCAUUUCGUAAUACAUACUCACUUCUACGGAAUUACUAACACUAGUCUCAAUUUUGCAAAANNNNNNNNNNNNNNNNNNNNNNNNNNNNNNNNNNNNNNNNNNNNNNNNNNNNNNNNNNNNNNNNNNNNNNNNNNNNNNNNNNNNNNNNNNNNNNNNNNNNNNNNNNNNNNNNNNNNNNNNNNNNNNNNNNNNNNNNNNNNNNNNNNNNNNNNNNNNNNNNNNNNNNNNNNNNNNNNNNNNNNNNNNNNNNNNNNNNNNNNNNNNNNNNNNNNNNNNNNNNAGAGUGAGUACUUUGGUGACUAUGAUGGUGUGCUUUCUUGACAUUUUAAAGUUUAUAAUUUGGCCAGGUUCAGUUAACCCAAUAACAUAGCCAUGAAAACGAUGUCCCCACCUUACGUAUCGAUGUAAAGUUUCAAAGAAUGCCAAAAAAGAGUUCCAAUGGCAGUCACCAAUGACUCCUAGUAAUAGAUUACACAUACCACUUCAUACAAACACAUAUCAGAAACAAUAACCAGUUGUAUUUCCCAAUUUUUAUUGUAUUUUAUUCUUAUGAUCUUAUUAUAUGGGGAAAUACCAAGAUUUGGAUUGAUUUCAUUCACAAGCCUGAUUCAUAAGGCCUUUUCAGGGCAACAAAAGAAAUUAGGAAAUUUCCAUUUUUAUUAUUAUUUUGGUUAAUAUGAUCUAAGAGCGGACAUCCAUUGUAUUGUCACAAAUUUUAAAUUUUUUUUUGCCAAAUUUGAUUACACCCAUUCUAUAGUAAGCUUUAACCCAAAUCAAUUGGAGACCAGUUUGCGCAAUUUGUUUUUACAAAAUCGGCAUAUGCGUAUUCCAUUAUAAUCUCGAGAUAAGUAAACAUGCAACGUAUAUGUUGGUAGUUUAGGAGGUGUAGCCCACAUGUGGGUACAAGGGGAGUUGUAAUGAUCUAGGAUCAUAUACACCACAACCAUACUCUCAUCAAUAUCAAGCCAUUCAGAUCAUUAGCUCUAGACACCAACCAAUUACUACCAGAGACUGGAAAGGUCAAGCAUUAGACGUCGACUUCUGCAGAAUAUGACUAUAAAACUGAGAAGAAACAUGGUAAAAAACUUAAAAUAAAAUAAAAUCCUCAAAGAAAUAACGAAAAUAGACUGAAACUAAAGAAGAUGCAGGCUGCUAUUCUUGCCGGGGUGGAGUUGUUGUCAGAGCAAAUAGCUACUUUGCACCCCCGAAAAUCGAGCUAUGCGAAUGGGCGGGUCACAUCUGACCUCCCUGGUUUACACUUGCGGUCAUUCACGAUUUGUUAAGCUCCAUCUCUUCCGGCGUUAGAACUUUGCGUUCCCCGGCGGCCGCCGGCUUGCUUGGUCCGUGCGGGUUCACUUGCGCCGGGGGCAUGGUGAAGGCUGGGAUCGAGCAUGAAGGUGCAUUUAUUGGUAGUCAAUGAGGGGGUUUAGGGUUGUCGAUGAAGGCUAAGACCUUGCAUGUGUGAUUUAUGGAUGUGUCGUGAGGUGAGGGGAGGCGCCGGGGGAUGAGGAAAACCCUACACCAAGGUCGACAACUGCAAGCCUUGGAGAGAAGAGCCCUAUCGCAAUGUAUGAUCUCUGAGCUUGGUGAUUUGUGAUGGCGGUAAAGAGGGUUUGGGAAGGAGGGGGUUGGUGCGGUGGUGCAUAUAAUGAUGGUGGUGAAGAUGAUGAUGUUGGUGGUCGAUGAAGAUGAUGAUGGUUGAUAGUGCUAGGAUUUGCAGGCUUGAACUGCUAGUCUCCUUUUCUUCAUGUUUAGAGUUUGUUUAGAGUGCGAAUAGUAAAGUUGCUUCAGGAUAAGCAAGAUUCAAGUGUGGGGGAUUUGAUAGUGCUAGGAUUUGUAGUAAUUAUCUAGCCUUAUCUGCAUGCUUUUUGAGUGAAUAUUAGCUUGUUCGUACUUCAUUCCCGUGUUGUUUUGUGUUUUGGUAUUAUAUGCAUAGACCUGUUCACUUGGACCGUUUUGGUCCAUUUGAUGUGUCUCUUUGUAGUAUUUGUUAUCCACGGAUACUCUAGAGAUAGAGGGUCUGGUUACGAGCCUCUAGAUAUGGAAUAGAGCACGAUUGGAGCUCGGACGGAAGAACAAGAUAAGAAAUGGUGGAGCAAAAAAACUGCACGUCGUACAGCACUACACGUCGUGCAUGCCUAAAUUGCAAAAUAGCCUCGUAGCAAAAAGAGGUUCACGGCGUGCACUGUUUUUCAGGCCGCGACCAAUUUCAGCAAUAGCGGUGCACGGUGUGCAUCCCCAGAUUUGCAGUUUCCCAUAUAAAAGCUUGAUUUCGAGGAAAGAGAAUCAGACUUCCUCAUAUCGAGUUCCUUUGACUUUUUCACGACUUCCCCUCUGCAAAAAAAAAAAAAACAUUCUCCAUCCCUAGAAGUCCAAUUGAAGAUCAAAAGGAGUCCCUAUUCAAAUUGAAGCUAGAAGAUUAAAAACGAUGAUUGGAGAAAGAUCGAUUCAUCGUCUCCUCAUCAAGAUGAUGGUUAGGUCGAAUUCUGAUUUGUUUUCUUCCAGAAUCAUGAGUAGCUAAUUAUUUAGAGUUUUUUGGUUGAGAUGUAGGAUUUGAGCUAUGAAACUCUCCCUAAAAGUAAAGGGUCGACGAUUGUUGGAUAAUUGAAUUCAAAUGAAUGAUUGCUUCAAUUAUUGGUUUUUCAACCUAGUUCUUGUUACGGCUUGAAUUAGAUCAAAUCUAUGAAAUCUUUUAUGUGGUAGAUUUUGGAAUUCAUAUUAUUAACAAUCAAAGACGAAAGUUAUUCAUGGGGUAAGCCAAUAGCUCGAUUCUACCUUUCGUGUUUCUUUUAGUUUUAAAGGUUGUUCAUCUUGUAAUUUGCAGGCGCUCUGGUUUGCACCUAAUGGGCCAAGUUGGGUGUAGUUAUUAGUAGUUUAGGUAUUGAUGGACCAAGUUAAUACUAAUUUCGAUUACUCGUGAUUUGAUUUAAUUAUGAAAGAGCACCUUAUCACUUUGUAGAACUUCUUGGUGUUCAUUACUGGUUAGCCUAAAGAGCACCUUGUCACUUUGUGGAACUUCUCGGUGUUCAUUACUGGUUAGCCUAGUGGAGGUUAUUCCAACCUUGAUUGGGAAACUAGUAGUGGUAAUCCGCAUGCAUGAUCGUGCUGCGGAUUCAUACGAGUGAUUAGAGGAUUCAUAUUAUUUAAUCCAAGUCCAACAGUUGUUCGAUCCGACUGCUAUUAGGAAGUUGAGCUUGAUGAAUCAUCUCAUCCAAGAGCUUGUUUUCUCCCCUCUGAUCAAGCCUAAAUUAUUAGUUUUAAUCGAAUUAGUAGUAUAAUUAGAAACCAAUCUCAAUUAUUUUCGUCUAGACCGCGUUGACGAAUUUGAGUAGAAGGAUACGAGAAAAAUCUUUGGACACAUAUGACACUUUUGUUGUCGAAAUAACUGAGAAGUUGUUUUGGCGAUCAAUUUGUUGGUGCUGUUGCCGGAGAAUCUCUUUCGUUCCUUUGAAAGACUUAGUCGGCGAGAGAAAACAAAACCCAACAGGCGAGGGAAAUCAGACUGUUAAACGUUUUCAAUUAUUUGGAAACACACUUGUAGUCUGUUUGCUCAAUUUUGUUAUGUUAAUUGUUCAAAAUCCUAAAUUUAUACUUUAUGUUUUUGAAUUACUUAUCCAACCGAUUCGUAAAAAAUGGGCACAAUGUCAAAAGUUAGGCUAGUAUUGUGUAUUAUUAUUUCUUAAUUAGGUGAGAUAGUAUACAAUUGUUCCCUGCUAAUGGAUACAUUGAUUCCUUAAUAAAAAUUCUAUAAAUUACCAUAAAAAAAAUAGUGAAGCCAACUUUGAAAUUUUGAAUUGACUGAACAAAUAUUCCUGGACGACCAAUGACCAUGCUACAUACAAAAUUUAAACUCAAUUGUUAAUUACCCCACGUGAUGAUAUCAUCUUCUGACAAGUCCCCAUCACUUGGAAGCAAAUUAAACUUUAAAAUUAGAGGAUAUCAAUGGGAUUGAUGUGAUAGACUCAAGGACGAUCAAAUACAAUAAUUAUAUCUCUUUCUUAAACUAUCGCCAACUAAUUUAAUUCACUAACCCAGUUGGUUCUUCGAAGCUUCCUUCCAUCACUAAUGCCAAAGACUCGUAAAAUACUACAAUCCCCCAAAUUCAUGGUUAAUUGCCCACCUCAAUAAUUAUCUCCUUUUUUUUUAAUAACAUAACAAUACCAGGAAUACAAACACUGAUGACAUUAUGUCGCAACCAAUAAUAUAGAUUAUGAUCGGGUGAUGAGAAAAAAUGUAAAACUAAAUCAAAGAAGUGGCCAAGAUUCACAAGGUUGUCGGCCGCACAAUGGACUUCGCGAUAAAUAUGUGAAAUAGAAACGUCCAAGAAAGACGUUGCUGCUCUUGAGAAAACAUACCUGUGAUGGCAUGUUGAUGAGACAGAUUCUCAGGUUUGGUGAGAAUGGCCAAGGUUGUUCUAGAAUCCAUUUGAACUUGAAGCUUUCUGAUACGCGAACAACAAUCUAACUUCAUUCCCCUCAACUCCACUCAGGUAAUGGAGCACCUAUCCAAAUUAUGACCGAAUGCAUGCAUGAAUUGAAGGAAGGCACCCCGAUCUUUCCUUGUAAUGCCUCCGCCAGCUGCUUGGGAAGAAAGCUGUCAAAAUGACAUAGUUGUGCUUAAGGUAUACCCACACUUAUCCCCCCAACCGCCAUAUGAUAACUAAGUCCAUUGAGCUAAACUUGGCGCUUCUCGACUCAGCUAACCAACCUUCCAGUUCGAGAGGAUUCACAUUAUGAAAAAGUAUGUUUAUUUCGAGCCCGCAAGAGAAGCUAAAGUGUAACUCCAACCACCAGAUUGUCCGACGGAGAGCUAAUGCUGUCUGCCAUCCACUCGGUGAAAUUUCUUGAGUAUUCAGCAUUCAUAAUUACCCCCGACGGAGUUCCCAUUGAUAGGAAGCAAUUUGUUUCAACUUAUAUUUCGGUAUAAAUACUGGGCCAAAGCCAUUUUAAUUAAUAUAAUGUAUUAUUCCUGAAUAAAACCAAUUAAACUCCACCAAUAAUCAAAUAGGGCAAUCCACCGUCUGAGAUAAGACGUCCGACCCAUCGGCAGUCGACUAACAGAUUGUUAACGGAAAGGCAACAAGACAAUUAUUAUUCAUCUUAUUUUGGUGUUUACCUUAGUUUAACAGCUUAUGCCAAGCCAACAGUUGACCAAAGUUAUAUUCUCAAGCCGACAGCAUCAAUAUCGCCUCGAUUAUUGAAACGAGGAAGCAAAUCCGUAGUCCUGUGUAUCUGUUUACUUGGGGAGAAAUGCAGUAACGAAAUAGGAUCGCCGAGUUGCUUGCUGAUUAUCCAUUUCUGAGAAGUUAGUUAGUUAUUGGGUUAUAGAUUGAUUUCAAUGCUUAUCGUGUCCUUUGCAGGAUUGCUUAAUCGGACAUCUGCCAAAAUGGAUCCUAAAGAGGUGCUAUGCGGAGAACCAUAGGCGGAACCUUCAUCAUCAAAGGAUCUGGACCCGAAGAUCUCGUUACAGAACGUACCAUCCCUCAUGGAUUACGGGUUCAGGAUCGAUCAACCUUACCAAGACCGUAACGGAAACAACAACAACAACAAAGCUCCAGACUGGGAUCCAAGGGCUAUGCUCAACAACCUUUCAUUUCUAGAGCAGAAGAUCAACCAACCUUCAUCUAACAUCGAUCAUCGUUCAGCUGAUAUCCACAUCACUGGCAGCAACGAAUCCGAUCGGUCAGUUUGAGCAGUUUGGACCGAUUCAACAAAAACCACCCACUGGACCUGCUCCAGUUCCGAACCAGACCGAUUUGAUGGACCUCGCCAUAAAAAGCCAAUAACUUCCUCGUUCUUAACCAAUACAAUUUAUUUUUGAAUGUAAACAAUAAGUCUCACUUAACGAACUAUUGGCGUAUAUAACAAGAAUUAGUAACACAAAAUAACAAACUCUAGACUUAUAUAAUAAAAAUUCUUUGAUAAGAAAAAAGUCUUAUAUAACAAAGAUUACUAACUCAAAAUUACUUUACUUAUAACUAACAUAAGUCAGCGCAUCUAUAUUUUAAAUUUAGAAGUCCCGAAUAUCAAAAUUAUUUUUUAUCCGAGUAAUAAUAUAAAUAGAAAAGAAAAUUUUGGUUUGAAUUGAAGAAGUGUACCUUGAUAAUGAAAAGCAAAGUAGAGACCAUCUUGGACUAUUCAUAUCGAUUUGUUAGUUUGUAAUUAUAUAGAAAUUUGAGGUAAUGUUCUUGUUAUUAAUAUAAUUAUUAGUUUCCGUGGCUCUUCUUUUUUCUUACCACCCUCUUCCUAAUCUGGGGGGGGUGGUGGGGAGUUUUGGGGNNNNNNNNNNNNNNNNNUUUACGUGGCUGUUCUUUCUCCAACUCAUUUCAAGUCGUGUGUGUAAGUAUGAUUUGGAACAUGUGCGUCAUUGAAUCUUCAAAAUCUUCUGGACAAUGAAAGAAAGGAAAUGUAAUGGCAACUCUAAAACAAUUGGCAUCUUCCCCACCAUAUCUAUCUAGUCUACUACUUGUCGUUACUAGAAUCUGAAAUAUACCAUUUUUCUACAUUUUUUGUAUUCUUUUAGAUACUAAGAAUAAAUAAAAAAGGUGAAAAGGCCUAUUUAUUUAUUUCAUUUUAUGAUAAAUCCUAUUUAUAGUAUAUAUGGAUAUCGAAAAACAAAUAACAACGUCGAUAAAAAAGCCUCACUGCCUUGUGCAUCAAGUUGUGUAGAGUAGUAUCACAUGUGGAGACAGAGUAUACAAUAUGAAAGAACCAUAAUAUUGCGAGACCAUGCAUUGAGAACAUUGAAUUGGAAACAACCAUUAUCUUGUUAAUAGAAUAGAUUUAUACAAACUUUAUUUUCUCAUUGUUAUAGAGUAACGGUAGGUAGUUUAUUUUUAAUCUUAUGAAGAAAACAAAAUAAAAUAUUGACUGACUUGCUAACUCGCGCCCUUCUUAUGUUUUUAAUUUUUUUCUUCAUUAGAUUAAUGGCGUUCUUUUUAGGUAAAUUUUGAGAUUGAUUGGAGCACCGAUGAAGGUUUUGUGACGGAUUUUAAUCAGUAUGUUUCCCAGCGCUAGAACUUUACAGGUUUUUCCACUGGUUGAAAACCUCAACUGAACUCUAUGAUAUAGCUCCGGUAGAAACCUCAACUGGUUGAAUUAUGGCGGUGAAGCUCUACUAGUACAACUUUGGUGGCGGAAAUUAAGUUAACUGGUAGAAUUAUUGCUGUAGAACUCUACCGGUAGAAUUUCGGCGACAGAACUUUGUCGAUGAAGCUUAUAUGUCGGAAUAUAAUAUUCAAAAAAAAAAAAGAUUUGUACAUAAUUUCUAGUUUAACCGUUGUAAUAUGAGUCAUUAGAUAGUUGAGCUUGGUGUUUAUUUCAAAUCAACUAAAUUUUAAUGGCGAGGAGUUGAUGGUGUGACAAAUUUUGAUGGCAUGGAGUUGACGGCCUGGCUGAUUCUAAUGGCGGGAACUGGUGAUGCGACAGAUUUUGAAAUGUUUUAUAUGGCAACACUCACUAUAUUAUAAGCUGAUAGUUGGUAACAUUAACCAGAAAUACUCCAAACAGUCAAACAUAUAUAUAUAGCUAGGGUGUGGCAUCUUUGUUGACACCAGACUUUGAACAGGCUAGUCCCUUGCUGAGAACAAUAUCGGAAAUGCGAACUACUUAUCUUCACAACAUGAGAUAUUUUGGGUGAGAAGAAAACUCAAAUGGUACAGAAACAUAUAACAAUGGUGAAUGUACACAGAAGAGAUAGCUUAUAGUUUGCAUUAAAUUGAGUGCUUAUACUUGUAUUUGUAUAGAGCCUACGAUUCUGAAUCCUCUCAACUUUACAAGAAGGUCUGUCUGGAUGUUACCAAAACAAAAUAAAAGGACAAAAAUGACCAAAACGCAGAAAUAGCCAUACAGAGACUGACUAGUUUAGGAACAAAACGACGAACCAAAACAAAAACAAAGAAACAGAGCACCUCUCUUUACUCUGAACUAUCUCUACUUCAAUAUUCCUUUACCAAUUAGUUAUACCAACGCACGCCAGCGGUUUGGUCGGAAGAAUUCAUCAGCAGUUCCUCCAAAUAAUCUGCUCCCAAAUCCUCCAAUACCACUACAUUCAAAUGAUCCCUUUCGCUCUUCUUCCCUCCCCGCCCGUUCAGUUUCCUCCUCAUGGAGUGCUUCCUCUUUAACGCUACCACCGGCGAGCAACCUUCCUUCUCCACAUCUUCUUCGUCCCGCCGUACGUUGCAGCCCAUGUCCUCCAGCGACUCCACCACCCUCUCCACCGGGAAAUUCAUUAUCGCCGCCGGCCCCCUCAUAGAGAACGCCGCCUGGUCAUACGCCAGAGCGGCCGCCUCUGCGCUGUCGAAUGUUCCAAGCCAAACCCGGACCCCGUGCCGAGUCGAAUCCCUUAUCUCCGCCGCGAAUUUCCCCCACGGCCUCCGCCUCACUCCGCGGAAAGACUUGUCCUUCUUAUUAGGUGGCGGCGGCUGCGAUGAUGGUUUGUAGGCGGGGGAGGAGCUGACUUCCUCUUCUUUGAUGAUUGGUUUGGUUUCCCUGUUGUUGGAGGCGAUGAGGCCGAACAAGAGCAUCUCUUCGGAGUCGUUCUCGUUGAAGGGUAGAUGAUGGGUUUGGUUGAGGGAUUGACUGGAGAAUUGCUCCGGGGAUCCGAAGGAAGAGGAUUCCGGCGAUGAGAAGUGGAAAAUUGGGGAUGCCAUUGGAAUAGAGAUGGAUGGAGAAUAAGAAUUGAGAUCAGUGCUUAUUUCUCUGGUUGUAGUUGUGUCUUGGAGGCGUAUGUUAGUUUUGUUGGGUAUGCGGAUUUUUUUGAAGCUUGACGACGCUAUUUAUACCCACCAGGCAGGGGCACAUUAACCGUUGGGUAAGAAAGGUAAAAUAUGGCGGGUAACUCGGGUAUCGACUAGUGUGGUUAAAUUACUGUUUGUGUUUAACCCUGUGUGUGUUAGUGGAACCCUACGUAGUCGAAUGGAUUUGGUGGGAAAAUGGUAGGGAAACCUGGCGGCUCCCCCGGUGCUGCAGCAUGUCAGCCAGAGUUCCAACUUCCAAUCCCCGUUAAGGAAAUAUUCAUGUUCAAUUUCAACCGUUUAUCUCUAACCCUAAAUAUAUAUAAAUAUAAAUAAUUUAAAAUAGAAGAGAUUUGGGUCGAUUUUGCUAUUUUCGAAAUAGAUAAUUUACGGGUGAUUUUGAAUGCAAUUGUUGCAGGGAUUUAAUCUUGUCUACAAAUUUUUUUCCCUUCGAACUCUAUAUCUUCCCUAAGUGAUUUAAAAUCAUCCACACAAUUCUCAUUGAACUCACAAAGUGAUUUCAAAUCUCUCAAAUCUCUACUUUUUUUAAUAUCCAAACAGGUGAUUUAAAAUAAAACCCAUUAAAAUCACUCAUCCAAACGAUGUGCCUACACUUUCAAUUCAUGCAUAACCUCCAGCUAAUUGCAGUGCCUUCCACCACCUCCAUGGCAUCGUGGAUGUCAAGACCAAGCCCGAAGAGGCUUUCUAUGUAAGACUCCAUUGAAGGCACCAUAAGUGGUCAACUUCACUAAGGACGAGGAACAUGCAUUUGAUCGUGACUUCCAUGUCUCGCAUUUGAAGAAGGUUUGAGCCAAGUAUUAAUAAUUCAUUGUCCAACGAAGUCAAAACACAUUCAAUCCAAGUCAACAAAAUUAUUUUCAUCGGAAUACAAAUAACAGACCAGAUGGAGCCACUAAGCUAGCAUGUGAAGUUCACUGCACCAAAGAGGAAGAACGGAAACUGUCGAGAGGCACUACAAGAAAUUGAUGAGCUAACAAUAGAUUUUUGUUUAAUUUAAAAAUGAUCUGGCCACUGUUAAAUUUUUUAAUAGUGGAUACGAAUCCAUAGUUAAAUUAAGCAAUUUAAAAAUCCUUAAAAGGUUAAAACAAGAGAGUAAUUAUACUCCAUGCCGUCUAAGAGGUGUAUAAAGUUUGAGUAUACACAUUAGCACCAUUUUUGCAUCAAUCAAAUAGAUAAUCCAUAAAAUACUUUUUACUUAUAAAUAUCUUAUAAAUAUUUUCUUCAUUUUAUGUAACAAGUACAUAUACAUUCUUAACCAUUACUAAUAUAAUGUCACUCUAUAUUCCAUCUUAUUUUUACAAUUACUAAAAUUUAAAGAUGAAAAUAUCAUUUUUAGGUAGAUUCACUCCGACCUUCUUUAACAAUAAAAAAAAUUAGGAUACAGAUUUGUAAAAGAAAUGGAAUUAAUAAUUGAAAGAACAUUAACCAGAAUGAUUAACUGUUUUAUACGUAAGUUGGAGGAGGAUAUCACUUGUCAAAUACAGAUUUGCAGCUCAAAAUUGUAAAGUCCAAGUUGACGUCAGGAAAUGGUGAAUCUUUUUGGAAGGGAGCGGAGGCGCUCGUUUGUUGGUUUGUUUGUGGGGAAGGGGAAUUAGAGUAGAUUUGGCUUCUUUAAUUACCACUUGUCACUCUCUCGCGUCACGUGGAUGAUUAUUGAUUGCGAUUCUUCUUUCUUUCCCCCGCCCCCCGCAACCCGCCCUUUCCUGGAAAUUCCCCUAAACUAAACUUAUAACUAUUUUCCAAAUUACUUACCUUUGCCGUCAACAUGCUUCCAAACCAACUAACUAUUCCGUUAACUCCUAAUAUUUUAUUAUACUUAUCAAAUGGAAAUGCUCUAAUUACCAAACUUUUGUCGAUAUUUACUGCGCUGCCCUGCGCCAAUUGGGCAACAACGUGGACUUCACAAACAAACGUUUCAACUUCAAACUACAAAUUAUCGGCAACGUACGGUGGCGGAGCUAUUAUUAAAAAAGGAGGUGUUCAGCCAAAAUCCUUUCAAUUACAAACAAAAACAAAAGUUACACACAAUAUUUUUUUAAAAUCUUUAUGGACUAAUUUUAUCAUUAACGACCAAAAAGUUUAAUUAGUAUAAUUAUUAAUAGUUUUUUCUAUAUGGUUAGUAGUUAACAAUUUUAAUCAUAAUUAUUUUAUAAACUUCAUACAUUAUAUAAGACAAUAAGAACAUCUAUAUAUGGGUACUUACAGAUAUUAGUAUCCUCUAUAUUAUAAUUUUAUCAUGUUCUGUGUUUAAAAGGAAGAGUUUGGAGGUUGUGAAUUUGUAUUCGAAAUUUAUGACUUAGUGUUAAAGGUUAAAAGUUUAAUUUUUUAGGUUUAGAAUCUAUUACUUUUAAUUAUGGUCAAAAGUUAGAUAACUUCAUUUGACCAUUAUUUACAGUGAACCUUGAUUUUUUUAGCCAUUUCCAACAUACAUGUCAAAUAUUAGCCAAUUUUAAAAUUUUAAAAUUUUCUUGUGAAAUGGUCAACACACAGAAAUUGACCAAUUUGGACAUGAAAAUUGAAAAUUUUCAAAUUGGCUAAUAUUUGACAUGCAUGUUGGAAAUUAUUUAAAAUUGAGAUUUCACCAUGUUAACCUCUUCAAAUAAUAGUCAAAUGACGUUAAAAAUAUUUUUUAAGGGUCUUGAUUGUUGUUAUUAGUGGAGAUGUAUGUGCUCUCGAAUACAAAAAUUUUAACUUGAAUUUCUAGCUAAUUCCCAUAUGUUGUUAGGUUCGAACUCGAUCCCUGGACCAAUUUCUGGCUUCACCAAUGGCUUCAUUUUGUAACGUAGUAAACUUGGUUUCUAGUUUGUUUGAAAUAAUGAAUUCUCUCCCUAGCUCUCUCUCUUCCUCUGACGCCGGUGUAGCCUGGGGUUCGACCGUCGGAGUCGCCUCUGCUAUGUGAUGUGGUUAUGCCGUACAUGACUGAGUUGCAAUCCUAUCGGCCGCACAAGGGAUGGCUGGUGGCUCGGCGAAAGCCCCCUCUAUACUAGGUGCGACGAAUUCAUUGGUUGUUGGCCCUAAGGUUUCCUAUGUGCUCGCAGUGUUUGGGGCUCCCCAAAUCCAGAGCCUCACUAGUGACAAGACGGUGGUUGUGCAACCUAAUGAUAUCGCAUGACGCACAAAAAAUGGAUUUGGGUAUCUAAAUACCUCUGGUGAGCUACGCGCGAAGAUUUUUGCUCCACUUUGGAAGGCCCUAGUCGUUCAUCUUAUGGGCAUGAGUGUGGAUAUUCAAUACAUAAUAGGCUUAGGGCUAUGUGGCGUUCAGGUGGUAGGAUGACAAUGAUGGAUCUAGACAAUGAGGUGUUUCUAGUCUCAUUUGAAAACCCUCAGGACUAUGAUUUCGCCCUUACCAUAGGCCCUUGGAUGAUUCUCGAACACUAUCUGGUUUGUCAUGCCUGGGAUCCCUCGUUUAGAGUUACUGUCGAUUUACCAACUAAAAUGGUGGUCUAGGUCAGAUUUCCUAAGUUGCCCCUCCAAUACUACCACAAAGAAAUUCUGGUUGGACUAGGGGAUUUGAUUGGACGGACAGUGCAGACUGAUCAUCAGACACUUUAUGCAGCCUGAGGCAAGUUUGCAAGAAUAAUAGUUGAAGUUAAUCUCAAACAAGCAGUAGCUACCGAGGUGUUCCUUGAUAAUGUCUGGCUGGAAAUUAUCUAUGAAAAUUUAUCGUUGUUGUGUUUCACUUGUGGGAAAAUUGGACAUAAGGCCAAAGCUUGUUCCAAAAACUCCAGCCUGAUUGAGCGUUGAGACCAAUUGGAAGGCUUACAAAUGCUGGUGGUGAGUAGAAGUCGGCCAGAGACAAGUACCAACGAGGAAAAACGGUCAAAUUUCGGGUCGUGGCUUACUUUCCACAAAUGAAUCAAUUCAGACACAAUCUCCCCCAACAGGAGUCGGCCUAGGAAACCUUAGCAGUCUCUCCCUUGCUGGAGGUCAGUUGUGUUCGUUCUUCACCAGAUGAUAACAAAGCGAGAAGCCCUGAUGUUCAGGUGGUGUCACUCCCUUUGAUCCAAAAACCUCCACAUAUUGGGGUUUGUAGUUCGGAGAAUAAAAGUGGGCCUUACGAGCCCACAGCUGUUGACCCACCCCCACAGUUAAAGCUUUUGUCGAAUAAUGAUGCAAAGAAGGUUUGCAACAUCUUAACAACUAAAGAUUUGCAUGAUGCUUCAAAGGUUCUGACUCAAAUUCAUUCCUCUUCUCCUCCGCCGGUGUAGCGAGCCCUGGUAAUCUUCGAGGGGUUGAAUCUUCAAGCAAUAAAACAAGUAUUAAGCCAAGGAAGUCGAAGAAAUCUGAGAAGUUGGUGACUGCUUUCCGUUUGGAAGGAAUAUCCUUGUCUGGAAUCCCUUUGCCUAUUCAAAAGAAACUCGUGAAUUCUGAUUGUGGAGGUUCUGAGACGGUAUCGCUUUUGAUGCUAAUUUCAGUGAUUUGAACUAGCCAAACGUCGAAGUUGCGGCUACGGAUGUUUCUUCAUAGACGAGAACAACUGGGGUGAGCAGCACGGUGGAUGAGUCAUCAUAAUCCCCUGGUGCUCUUGUUUCUUUACUCGGUUAUUGUUAUGACUAAUUUCUUUGCUUGAAACUGCCAGGGAGCCGACCAUAAAAACUGCGUUCCUGCUUUGUUGAAUUAUGUUCAGGUCCAUCAACGAACUGUGGUUGCCAUCACCGAGCCACGAAUUAGUGGAGAUAUAGCUGCUAGGGUUAUUCGGAAGCUUAAAUUUGAUAAUUGUUUUUUGGUCGAGGGCAAUGGAUUUUUGGGUGGCAUUUGGCUCCUUUGGAAUGAGAACUUGAUUCUGCUUGAUGUUAUCUGACAUACGACCCAGUCUGUUCAUGUUGUUGCUCAAUGGAAUGACGAAUUCGAAGAUUUCAUUACCUAUGUUUACGGUGCGCCUCGACGGGCAAAGAGACAUGUCUUGUGGACUGAAAUGACUGAUCUUAGCUCUCAAAUCAAUAAGGCAUGGCUAGUCUUGGGGGACUUUGAAACCUCCCUUACAGCAUUGGAUAGACAAGGAGGAGCUAAUUUUGACAUCGGCCAAGUGGAGGAUUUUAUUGAUUUCCUUGAUAAAUGUGCUCUCUUUGCUUUCAGGUUUGUUGGACCUCGAUACACGUGGAGGAGAACUAAUCUUUCUGUCAGACUUGACCGUGCUGUGAUCAAUGAAGAAUAGCUACAUGCCUUUCCAGAAUCAGUCAAUUAAAACCUUCCUAGAAUAAAAUCAUAUCAUCGCCCUAUCAAGGUUAGUAUCUCACCUCUUUAAGCAAAGCUUAUUUCAUGCGUUCUUUUCGAUUUAAUGCGGCAUGACUUGGCCAUGAGGAUUUCCCUCUCCUUGUCAAGGAGGAGUGGCUUCCAGAAAAUGAUAUUGUUUCUUCUUUGCAUGUGUGCCAUGAUAAGCUUAUCGAAUGGAAUAAGUCUACUUUUGGCAAUAUUUUCAUACGGAAACGACGAUUGAUGAAGAACCUUGCACUGCUCGAGGAAAGGAAUGAAUGGAGUAGCUCGCCUAUCUCCCUUCGGCAGGAGCAAGAGACUACGUUGGCCUUGGAAUCUACUCUCUGGCAGGAAGCGGUGCUUUGGUUGCAGAAAUUCAACCUCCAAUGGAAUCGUGAUGGAGAACGAAACACAAGAUAUUUUCACUCUACUACCUUGAGAAGACGAAGACUGGAAAUUGGGUGUACGAUCCAGACGAGCUUGCUAGCAUGGCGCAAGCUUAUUUCAUUACGCUCUUCUUAGCCAAUUCUGGUCAAAAGUUGUUGUCUUUGGGAUCGAGUUGCAUGGCUCUGACGGAAGAUGAAGGGGAGCGUGUGAGUUAGUGGUUCACUCCUACAGAAGUCCAUAGGGCGGUUGAGAAUAUGGGACCACUCAAAUCACCAAAGAAGGAUGGCUUCUCUCCUAUUUUCUUUCAAAAAUGUUAGAAUAUUAUUGGUCCUGAUUUUGUGAAGUUUGUGAUGGCUUGUUUCAGGAAUCCAUCCCUUAUUCCAUAUAUCAAUGACAUGAUGAUUGUGCUUAUCCCCAAAGUUAGUCAACCGGAGAACAUGGGGCAGUUUCGACCAAUCAGCCUGUGUAGCAUUUUCUAUAAGAGUUUCACCAAAUGUUUGGCGAACAAAAUUAAGGGGUCCAUGGAUCGGUUUAUCGGCCCCAACUAGACUUGCUUCGUUUCGGGAUGACAAAUUACAGAGAAUAACAUUAUUCUACAGGAGUUGGUUCAUUCUAUGAGACUUAAGACAGGACGUUGGGGUAUGCUAACCAUCAAGCUAGAUUUGGCUAAGGCGUACGACAGGAUUGAGUGGGAUUUUGUUAAAGAUACUCUGAGUCAAGCGCACUUCCCAACAAAUUUUAUUGACGCUACUAUGGCCUGCAUCACCACGGCAACGACUCAAGUACAAUGGAAUGGGAACCUUACAUAAUUAAGGGGUCUAUGGAUCGGUUUAUCGGCCCCAACCAGACUUGCUUCGUUCUGGGACGAAAAAUUACAGAGAAUAACAUUAUUCUACAGGAGUUGGAUCAUUCGAUGAGACUUAAGACAGGACGUUAGGGUAUGCUAACCAUCAAGCUGGAUUUGGCUAAGGCGUACGACAGGAUUGAGUGGGAUUUUGUGAAAGAUACUCUUAUCCAAGCGCAUUUCCCAACAAGUACAGUGGAAUGGGAACCUUACAGAACCCUUCAAACUAGGGUGUGGGCUGCGGCAAGGAUGUGCUCUUUCUCCUUAUCUCUUUACUCUUUCCAUUGAGCGUCUUUGUCAUAUUAUUAUGAAGUGUCUUGAAGAGGGGAGUUGGCAUCCUAUUUCUUUGGGUCCUUUGUCGCACUUAUAUUUUGUGGAUGACUUGGUUCUGUUUGGUAGUGAUGCUAUUGAGUAGUGUAGAACUAUUAAGGAUUGUGUUAAUAAGUUUCGUGCUACUUAUGGGCAAGUCGUUAGUGAGUAAAAGUCUAGAAUCUUUUUCUCUCGUAUUGUGUUGUCUCGGCUUCGUUCCGCUAUCUGUUCUAGUCUUGGCUUCCGUGAAACUAAGGAUCUUGGUCGAUAUCUCAGAGUACCUAUCCUUCAUGGACAGGUUAUAACAGAUACAUACCAAUUUGUGUUAGAUAGAAUGUAUGCCAAGUUAGCUGGUUGGAAGUGUAAAAUGAUGUCUUUAGCUGGUAGAGUCAAGCUGGCUACUUUUGUUUUGAAUGCUAUCCCUUCUUAUGUUAUGCAAACGACCGUCAUUCCUGCUGCUACCUGUAAGAAAAUUGAUCAAUGUAUUCAUAACUUUGUGUGAGGUAUCCUUCCUUAUGAAAGGAACCCACAUCUUGUGUCAUGGGAUGAUGGCCUCAAGAUCAAGGAGGACUUGGGCUGCGAAAAGCAAAGGCAUUUAAUGAUGCUUACCUAAUGAAGCUUGCUUAGAAAUGGUUGGAACAACACGAUGCCAUAUGGGUUCAAGCCUUUCUUGGAAAAUACACUAAGCACAACAUAGAUGGGUUUAUAGUGAUUUAAAAGAAAACUUCGUCUCCUCUUUGGCGAGGUAUUAGGCGUGUCUCGGGACUCGUUCUGAAAGGGGUUAAGAAUUGUGUUCGAGGGGGUCAUGACACAAGUAUUGGUUUGAUAAUUGGAUUGAUGGGGGUAUUGUGUUAGAUGAUUUUAUUGAAAAUGAUGAGUUGGGAGAAAGGGUGGCUUCGAAAGUGCGUGAUCGUGUGGAUGCGACGGGCUAAUGGAAGUGGGAGCUUCUUCAGAAUGUUCUUCCUAGGGAAACAGUCGAAAAUGGUGGGAGGAAUGAUGCCUCUGGAAGGAGAUAAGGAGGUUAGCGUGUUGUGGGGGUUGGAUCCUAAAGGAAAAUUCUCUGUCAAAAGCGCUUAUAACUUGAUGGCUAGCUUCCGGUGUGAUAACGGACAACCUGCUUGGAGAAUGAUUUUGCGCUGGAGAGGACCUAACCGAGUUUUUCACUUUCUUUGGCUUGUUUAUCAAUGCAGGUUGCUUACCAAUUUAGAGAGGUGUAGGAGACAUAUGUUGGAGCGGAAUGAGUGUAGUGUGUGCAAACAGGGGCCAUAGACAAUUUUACAUUUGAUGCGGGAUUGUCACAUACCCAAGACAACUUGGCAGACGGUGUUUGGUACUGACAUUUGGUCCAAAUUUUAUGAACAGGAUGUUGAAACGUGGCUUUUGAGAGGCAUUUCCCAUCCUCUUCGGUCUUUGGAGUUUGGGCUUAUUUGUUGGUUGCUUUGGGAAAAUCGUAAGGAAGUAGUUUUCAAUAAUGCUUCUGUCUCCUGCGAUCAGCUCCGCGAAGCAAGCCUAAACUUUGUCCAGUAGUUUUCUGUAAAGUUAAUUUGCUUGGAGAAAGUUUGGAAUGAUUUCUGACACCUUGCAUGCUUUCUUGAAGCACGACAGCUUCUUGACAGAGACUGGGAUAUGUGUAUUACGCAUACCUAUCGCGAAAUGAACCUUGUUGCGGACGCCCUCGCCCACCAUGGGCAUUCUUUACCUCUUGGUAUAUAUAUAUUUAAGAUAAAAGAGAAGAAAUAAAUAGGUAUUCAUUUUGGAGUAUAUUAAAUUGAAACCCAGAAUAAAUAGAAAAAUAUCAGGAAUGCACUUGUGAGAUUAUUAAGUAUCUAGUUCCACUAAUCCGGAUCUGCCACCUGGAGUGAAUUCUACUAAUAUAGUUCUCAACCUUACAGUUCUAUUCAAACCAUGAUUCCUGAUGAUGAUUCACAUUGGCAAGCCGCCAAUAACGUCCAAAUUUUCUCUCAAAGACAUUGUUUAUGAGUGAGUAUAAAACUGUGUACAAUAUAAUAAAACGUAUAAACAACUGAGUUCAAAGACAAAUAUAUACAAAAACACACAAGAAUGAGUACACGAAAAUGUACAAAAUGUAAGAAACAAGUACGUGUAGAAAAUGAAAACAAAGUCAUACACAUGUACUAAACACAGAGUACAACACCUGUACACAAAAAGUACAAUUGGUGAUCCGAACCUCAUAUAUUGUAACCAUUUGCAAAACAUGUACAAUUUUUGCUUAAAAAGUUAUUACAUUUCGAAAGAUUGAGUAGAAAAAAAAGUACAACAGGAAAUAAUUUUCAGAAAAAUAAAUAAAUAAAUUUAUGAAACUACUUAUUUACCCUUUUUAAUUUAACUUCUUGGAUCUUAGACGUUAAUUAAUGAUAUGGACUUUAAUGUAUUGUUUAAUAUNNNNNNNNNNNNNNNNNNNNNNNNNNNNNNNNNNNNNNNNNNNNNNNNNNNNNNNNNNNNNNNNNNNNNNNNNNNNNNNNNNNNNNAAUGUGAUGGGUAUUGAAUGAAGAAGAAGAAAGGAGGUAUCUAAACUCUUUAAAAUUGGUGCUUUGUUUUUUACAACAAGAAUGAGAAGGUUUGAGCAAACAGAGAGUCGGCCGACUCUAAAUAUACAUAUUAGGUUUGAUGGAUAUGGUGUUAAUUUAAUUAUUAGUUGAUGGUAAAUAAGUCAUUUAAUAUAAUUAGUAAAUUUAUGUGUAAUUCAUUUUGAAAUACCUAUUCAAUUCUACGGAAUUGUUAACACUAACCUCAAUUUGACCGAAUUGAAAACUUAGAAUUGAAAAUAAAUUUUUUACCUACCAAACACAAAAAUAUUUAUUUUAAAAUAAAUUCCAUAAAAUUUUAAAAAUUCAUUUAUACCGAUUAGAUAAUAAAUAAUCCAAAAUCUAAAAUGUCCCUUAAUCCCAUAAAAAAAACUCUUUUCUCCAUACUUUUAACCCAUUCUCGGAUUGCCUCAGUUGGUUAUAAAAUAAAGAAACUUGCUAAUAUUUCCUUGAUGAGUUGACUGUGAGGUCAAGACUGCUCAUUAAGCCCUUGAAAAGUCACGAGAACCCUCAAACCUAAUAUACAUAUAUUAUCUUGACUCCAGAUCAAAUCAAAUUAAGGGUAAGCCACGCUUAGUUUCCCCACUGUAGUUCAUCAUUGAGCUACGAAAUGGCAAACAGAUUCAAUUCACCAUAUCCUCAUAAGAACUCCCUUUCUCGCUGCACAGUCUUAACAACAAGUAACCGGUUUCAUGUGAAUUCAGUUGGUGAAAGAAUCAUAAAUCACUGCCCAAUGGAAAGAAUUAAAGAAAGAAAGGAAUUAAACCUGGUCAGUUUUCUUUUUGUUUCCACUCGUGAUCAACAGUCAAAUAAAAUUAACGAAAACGACUUGUUCCUGCUAUGAAACGUAACUCUGGCUACUUAAUUAGGCCAAGAGCAGAGCAUCUGAAGUAGUAUCAGAUUUAGGACAGCCACAAAUAUGCAUAAAAAAUUUAGAUUAGGCAUCAUUAUCGUCGUACGUAGAGGCUAUCUGUCCACAAAAAAUAAAAUUUCUGGGUUUUCCAAAACAUGGUCUACAUUCAGGGCCUCUUGCUUCAUCGUCAAUGUAGUUCCAAUAUUCCAUUUUCGAGUUUUCAUAUCCGUCUUUCUAACUCACUCGAACUUAUAGAUGAAUGGAAAACCGUUGAAGGUCCUCCGAAAAAGGAAUGGACACCCUCGGAGAGUCGCUAUUUCUUUCUGUUGAAGAAUGAAAAUAUAUAAAUUGGUAUUUGUAGUUAGGUGUACAUACGUUUAAUUAUUUUUUUUUAUCAAUCAAUUAAGAUUUAUAAAUUUAUGCUUAAUCGAGCGGUAAUUGCCAAGUAAAUCGGUGAUUUAGUGAUAACAACAGUUUAUGUACAACGCAUGAGCUGGUAAUCUGGGAGGUGCUACCCACACACGGGUAACAAGGGAGUAGCAGUUAACCUUAUUAGUUACCGUACUUUGCAUCCUUAAUCUCCUAACAACCCUUUCAAAGCGAUAGACAUGAAACUAACAACUAGAACGAAAAAUGAGAGAAUAGAAUAAGUUUGGAAUGAAUGGAUAGAUUCCCCUAUGGGAUCUUAUUGUACAUAUAGGAUAAGUACAUAUAUAAAACUACUAAACUACCUUUACUUUCACAAACCCCCUCAAGCUGGACUUGAAGAUCAGUCAAGAGAUAUUGUACCACCGGAGUUCACAAGCAGUAGCGGCAAGAGCCCUAUACUCAGCUUCUGCCGAUGAUCGAGAGAUGGUGGCCUGCUUCUUCGAUUUCUACGAAAUCAGAGAUUCUCCAAGAAAAGUAUAGAAACCUGUUGUUGACCGCUGGGAACUAGGACAACCUGCCCAGUCACUGUCACUAAAAGCAUGAAGUUUAAUAUAUGAACUUGCAGGAAAGAAUAAACCUUUUACAGGGUUCGUUCUUGAGAAAUCGAACAACUCUGAGUGCAGCCUUCAUGUGGAGAUUAGUAGGGCGACUCACGAAUUGACUAAGAUAAUUGACUGUAAAAGCAAUGCAUGGUCUUGUACCGCAUAGAUAAACAAGACGUCCCACGAGCCGUCGAUAAGAAGUGGGAUCUUCCAAAGGUUCACUAGAUGAAAUUAAGAGACGAUCACAGGCAUCUGUUGGACAAUCACCAGGUUUGCAAGCAAGAAGUCCUAAGUCUUCUAUGAUACUAAGAGUAUACUUCCAUUGGCAGACAGAAAUUCCUUGAGUGGUGCAAGUACUUCGAGACCAAGGAAGUAUUUGAGGAGACCUAGGUCUUUGAUUGUGAAAGUCUUAUCCAACUGAGCUUUGAAAAGAGAAAUUCCAGGAGCAUCAUUCCCCAUGAUAACAAUAUCGUCAACAUACACAAGAACAGCUGUGAAUAAACCAGCAGAAGUCUUGGUGAAGAGACUAUAAUCAGCUUUGGAUUGAACAUACCCUGAGUUACAGAGAAAAUCAGUGAGCUUAGAGUUCCACUGUCGACUAGCCUGCUUUAGACCAUAUAGUGACUUGUUGAGCUUACAAACAUGAUUAGGAGGAACAACCAAUCCAGGAGGUGGAACCAUGUAGACAUCUUCCAAUAAAUCACCAUGUAAAAACGCCGUAUUAACAUCAAGUUGAUGAAUCAGCCAACCUCGAACAACAGCUAUGGCAAGAAAUAAACGAACUGUAGUCAUCUUGGUGAUAGGGACGAAACUAUCGACAUAAUUGAUCCAAGUUGUUUGAGUAUAACCUUUUGCGACGAGUCUUUCCUUGUACCGCUCUAUUUCUCCAUCGGCUCUAUACUUGAUUUUGAAUACACAUUUAUUUCCGACGAUAGUGAUAUUGGGCGGCUUGGGAACAAUUGACCAUGUGUUUGUCCUUUUGAGAGAAUCAGAUUCAGAAUCCAUAGCUUGGACCCAAUUGGGAUCUUUGACAGCCUCCUUAUACGUAGUAGGCUCCUCAGUGCUUGAGAUGGCAUUGAUGAAUCGAGCAUAACCAGAAGACAAUUAGUUAGAGGAGAUGCAAUGAUGGAUCGGGUAUCGAACAUUGUUGUAGUGAUAGUCGAGAAGAUAUGUUGGGAGCCGAGGACGCCGAGUAGGAUGCUGAGAAGAAGCCGGAGGAUCUGAUUCAUUCGAGGAAAUAGAAGGAGGCACCCGAAGAUCUGAUUCAUUAGAAGAACCAGAAGGAAGCACCGGAGGAUCUGAUUCAUCGGAGGAAGUAACAGGAGGCUCAAAUGAUGGAGCAAGUGAGGAAGGCAACGGCUGUCCAACAUUGGAAGGAAUUGGAUUCAUAAUGGAAAAAUGAUCCAUCGGAAGUUCGGGUUUAAGCCCAGAAGACUGAGGUUGAGAGAAAGGAAAAAACAUUUCGUGGUAAGCAACAUCACGAGAAACAAUUAUAUAAUUGUUGUUGAGAUUAUAUAAACGGGCUCCUUUUAUGGAAGGAGGAAAGCCUAGAAAAACACAAGGCAAAGCCAUGGCUGAAAGUUUAUUGUGAUGAGCAGCAGGAGUGGUAGCAUAUGCCAAACACCCAAACACCCGAGGGUGAUUAUAACUCACAAGAGUGUUAGUGAGUACCUCGAAAGGAGUUUUAUGAGCCACAACUGGAGUAGGUUUGAUUAAGUGUACGACAUGUUGAGCCACAUAUCCCAAAAAACAUGGAGGAAGAGAGGAUUGAAAAAAGAGAGAACGAGACACAUUGAGUAUAUAUUGGUGUUUACGUUCUAUGACCAUUUUGUUGGGAAGUAUAAACACACGAUGUUUGAUGAAUGAUACAUUGAGAAGAAUAGAAAGCAGGAUCACUAAACACUAAACUUUUAUCAGUACGAAUAACUUUGACUACCUUAUUAUAUUGAGUGCGAGCCAAGACACAAAAAUCAACAGGAAGUGGACGAACAUCCAAUUUAGAAACCAAAAGGUGAAUCAAAGUAUAUCGAGUACAAUCAUCAAUAAUUGUUAGAAUAUACUUGUGCCCUUGCAAGGUGGGAAUUGAAUAUGCCCCCCGGAUAUCAAUGUGCAACAAUGCAAAACGAGUUGUAGCUCGAUUAAUACUAAGAGGAAAACUCAAAACGAUGUUGUUGGCUAAUGGACAAAUCUUGCAAUGAAAAUCUGGAUUGUGCUGAUCAUUAGACACCAUCUAAGAGCUUGGUAAGGAUGAAUGACCCAAUUUGUAGUGCCACAAGUCAAAGAAAACAGCUGACCAGACUAGACGAGAAACAUGAGUUGGUAGAUUCUGAUGAAGGCAGUAGAGAUUUGCCACACCAUUUAGCUAUACCAGUCGUCAUUGAUUUGAUAGGAUCCUAAAAGAAACAAGAAUCACCAAAAAAGGACACACUACAUGAAUGUUCAUGAAUCAAUUUGCUAAUAGAGAGCAAGUUGAAUGAAAAUGAGAGAAUGACUAUAACCACUGAAACAACCAAGGAAUCUGUUAAUUGAACAGAGCCAAUAUGACUAACAAUAACUUUGGAGCCAUUAUGCAAAGAAACACUCAUGUUAAUAACUUGUCGAGAAGUCAUAAGAAGAUCAACUGAGCAAGCAACAUGAUCAUUUGCUCCAUAAUCGAUUACCCAAACAUGAGAUGAACUCGGAGAAGUAGAAGAAAGAAAAAAUUUACCUGGAGUAUGACUGGUAGAUGGACCAGCAUUAGUCUGAGUAGAUUGGUGAGCACCUUGAUCGGUAUUGAGCUUAGUCUCAAGAACAUUAAUGUGUGCUUGAGGAACCGAUUGACCAGUGGUCAACCCAGAAACUGGAGAUGGAAUUCUCAUGGUGAGGCAGUGAACAGAUGGUCCUGGAGGAACAACAUUGAUGCUAAGAGAAGCACUAGAACUUGGUAUAUUGAAUAGGCUGUGAAGAGCUUGAUAUUGAGCCUGGGAGAUCAAUAACCCAUCAGGUAAGAGAAACAGCCUUUCACUUCGGACGAUAACCGAAGGAUAGCCAAUCCUUCGAUAGCAUUUAUCAAUAGUAUGCCCGAUCAAACAAUAAUGAGUGCAAACCGGGUGUUUACCCAAUUUCUUGUAUGAUGGCUGACAAGUAGCCAGGAUAUGAGGAGACGGAUCUUCUAUUUACGGAAUUGGAGCAACAUGAACUAGAUUAGAGGCAGGGAUCCCCAGUUCUUAUUCUUCAUGAUUUAUUAUUGAGAUAACUUGAUUAAUCAUUGGCAAAGUCUCUGUACGAAGGAUGUGAGAUCGAACAGAAGCAUAACAUGGAUUCAAGCCUCACAAGAAUCGAAUUAUCUGGUUCGACUAAAAAUAUCCAUGAACACGAGAAAGGGCGUCACAAGAACAUCGAGGAUCGCAAGAACAUGCAGAGAUCGGCCGGAACAUUAUAUACUCAUCCCAAAUAAGCUUGAAUCAAGUAUAAUAAGAGGAAACAGACAAGAUGCCUUGACGGAAUUCGGAGAUCUGAUCGUAUAACUCAUUGGUGGGAACUACGUUUGGCGGCAGAAUAGAACCAUCAACCAGACCACAUUUGUUCUUGGUCAUCAGCGCGGAGAGAGAAUGGGAGCCGAAAUGUUUUGCUCUGAUACCAUGGUAGAAUAGAGUAAGUUUGGAAUGAAUGGAUAUAUUUUACUAUGGGAUCGAAUUGUAUAUAUAGGAUAGGUUUAUAUAUAAAAAUACUAAACUACCCUUACUUUCACAAAAAAGACAAACAAAAGCGAAAGAAGACACUAACAAAUAGAAUUGAGAACGACUCGAAAAAAUUAAGAAUUGAGAAAACAUAAGAUACAUGAAAGGAGUCUGGCCGGAGGGGGGAACGUUGCUGAAGCCAAUGCAGAGAUCCACAGCCCCCUAGAGACGAUUAUGCUGCUGGACAGGUCGCCCCUAGCUGACCCACAUGUACCAUGUUUGUUGGAGCAUGACCACCCUUCUUCGGUGAUUUCAACUACUUCUAAUCAUAGACUUUCUUUCGUUCCAUAGGAUGAGUUGUGGGAGGUUGUAUAGGAAGCAGAUUUUCCAUUGUGGAAGAAGUAAUCGAAAACCCUACUCAAGUGGAGAAAAAACCUUACUCGAACGGUGAAUUAAACCUUACUCAAGAGGAGAACUAAACCCUAACAGCGGGUAAAAGUUAUCAAAAUCAAGGAGAUACAGAGGGAAAGAAAUAGGUGACAAUGACUGAAGGUACGGUGCCUAGAGUUUUCCGACUCUCAUUAAUGCAAACUAGGGUUCACUGUCCAUAUUUUUCUUUCCUCCUCCAGUUGUAUGUACAUUUAUUUAUUAAAUACAAGAUUAAUACAUCAAAAUUUAUUUCUUAUGCUUUCUUGUCAUUAAUAUUUUUAUUUGAGUAACACAUACUAGCAUUGGAGAUCUUCAGAUCACCUUGAACGCUUUAUCUUCGUCUUCUGAAGUUGAGAGGAUGAGAGACAGAGCCUAGGGUUUAGAGGAAAGGAAUCAAUGAAUUAAACUACGUUAAAGAGCACCUUCGUCAUUUUAUAUAUCAAGUGACUGUGCACGAAACACAUCGGUUCAUUAUCCUGCAUACAAACUCGAAACACAACAAAACCGGGCGGAGAAGGUAAUUGACCAAUCCAGUAAUCAACUCGGUUUGACUGAUUGCUAAUAGGAUUAUAUAAAUGUCCAUUUCUAUUUUGAUAGAUGAGAAAUAAACAUAUCCUUGAAAAGGCUUAUAUUGGUCAGCUUGAAUUGUUAUUGCAUAUUUUUUUUCCUUUCACGUCUACUUAUUUUUACAAAUGAUAUCAAUGUCAAACCUAUAAGACUAUCUCCCAUGUUUGAGUUCAAGUGUCAAAGUGCUAUAAAAUUCAAAAUUGAGUUUCAAGUGUCAAAGUGCCAAAUUUAGUUCACUAAUUUAAUGGUUGGUAUUCACAUAAAGGGUUUCUAGGAAUUUGUGAUUCUUUAUCGAUUCUCCUAUCAAUUUUAUUUGGAUAGUUUUUAUAUUAAAAUUUCUGUCUUUCAAAGACGAAUAUAACUAAAUCAAUUUUGAUAAUAUUUCAAACCUUCAAAAAACUACCUAAAAGCUAAAUUUAGCACUUUAAUUUGGCACUUUAGCGCUCACCAUCGGAAUAAAAACACUUUUUGAAGUCUUAAAUUGCUAAAUUUAAGACCUUCAUUUGACACUUUAGCACUUACCAUCAGGGGUAGUCUAACUACCAAGGAAUCCAACUAUUAGUAGUUUUAUCAUAUAUUGAAUUGGGAAGCCAACUUGGUUCAAGAAUGUAUAGGCUCAAAGAUAAAAAGCUUAACAAAACUAGUUAUAAUUAAGGAUUUGAUCUUUUCACUUAUAUUUUUCUUUACAAUCAAUUAAGAUUUAUAAAUUAAUGCGUAAUCGAGCAGCAACUACCAAGUACAUCGGUAAUCUAGUGAUAGCAACGGUUUCCGAACAACACAUGAGCUGGUAAUCUAGGAGGUGUUACCCACACACGGAUAACAAGGGUGAAGCAGUUAACCUUAUCAGUUAUCGUACAUCGUAUCCUUAAUCUCCUAACACCGUUUCAAAGUCAUAGACGCCAAACUAACAACUAGAAUGAGAAAGGAAAACAAAAGCGAAAGAAAACACUAACAAACAGAACUUAGAAUAACUCGAAAAUAUUAGGAAUUGAGAAAAUAUAAAAUACUGGAAAGAAGUCCGGCUGGAGGAGGCGAACAUUGCUGAAGCCGAUCCGGAGCUCCACAACCCCCUACAGACAAUUAUGCAGCUAGACGGAUUGCCGUUGGCUAACCCGCCCGUACCAUGCUGGUUGCUGGAGCAUGGUCUCCCGUUUUGGUGGUUUUAAUGACUUCUGACCGUAGACUUUUUUUCGAUCCAUUGGAUGAAUCGUAGGAGGUCGUUAGGGAAGCAGAGCCGCCAUGUGAAAAAAGAAAUUGAAAAACCCUACUCAAGGGGAGAACAAACCUUACUCUAAGGGAGAAUAAAAGCUCACUCAAAGGGAGAACAAAACCCUAAUAGCGGGUAGAAACUAUCGAAAUGAAGGAGAGAUGGAGGGAAAGAGAUAGGCGUUGGCGGCAGGAGGUGUGGUGGCUAAAAUUUUCAGUGGCCAACCUUUGCAAUUAUAUUUAAAACGUAUUUAUUAUUUUUAUUUAUUUAUUUAAAUCUCCGACAUCCCCACAGCUAUUAAUUUUUCGACAACUGAUUGAUGAGUCUCCAAUAAAUGGUUGGUAAUUUUUUGACAAAUUAUUCGUUGAGUCUUCAAUGACUUUCUUUGCGAGAAUUUAUGACUAGUUAUAAAUUUAAAUAAUUAGUUAUACCAACUAGUGCUAUGAUCAAAUAAUGAUAUAUUUAAUUAUUAAUUAUUAAUUACACGAUUGAUAAUAUAAUUAAUUAUAUGUAAAAGUAAUUAAAUAUAUUAUAGUUGAAUAAUCAAAUGACUAGUUAUACAAUGGAUAUUCAAAAAAUAAAAUUAUACUAACUAUUUGUUUUUAUAAAGCACUAGCAAUUGAUUAUUUUGUUUUAUAAAGCACUAACAAUUGAGUCAUGCUCCUUGAGCACUGGAAUCUUCAAGAAAUAGUUUUAUAAUGUUGGUCCUUUAAUGUAACUUAUUUAAAUUUUCAAAGUAAUCAUUUCCACAAUAUUAGUUUCUCAUUCCAUUCAGUUUGCUAAUCAAAUACGUUUGUUGGUGUGGUCUAAUCAAAUACGAAUAUGAACUUCUGUGCCGGGAAUGAGCAAGAACCAACAAGUUAGUCCCGCAAAAACCCAAUUCUUAUCAUCCUCUCAAAAAUAUACACAACCUGAUUUUCCUAUACCAAACGAAGAGUAUGAUAUUCUUUUAUCCUUUUCAUCUGUAUACUCGCCAUGUAGAUCCCUUCACCACAGUUUCACUACUUUUAUUUUACGGCACUCUGACUUCUAGCCUGGUGAUCCUCGCUAUUAUGAGUCUUCUCCUUUUCUUCGGUGCUGAUACACUCGACGGUUUCCACGCCGACUGAGUCUUUUGCCUAGAGCAAUUGCGGUUUAUCCGCCUUGCUCUCCCAUUUCUAUGGGAUGAGGCUGUGGGGCAUCUCUACCCCAUAUCCUAGAUCUGGUCGCGAUUUGACCCUACACACUAUGCUAAUACCCUUCUAUUCCUCGAUCAUUUACUUUGAACUGGCAAGCAUCAUACUCAUCCUGGAAUCUUCCCCUUUGGCACGUACAUAGAAAGCGUGGGCGUCAAUUGAUUUUGGGUACAACUAUACCACCUUACAGGCUCACGUUUGAUUCGACCGAUCCAUCGGGUACUGUCUGAAUCGACUUCUCAGGUAGACUAACGUCGGGUCGGCGCCGGAUCCCCGUCCUAGACCCCCUUCUGACUACCGGAUCACUCGGCUCGCAGGCAGUUUGCCACCGCCUCCGUCAGAUCCUCCUCAUCGGUGCCGCCUCUGUCGACCACGGUCACCCUACCAAACAGGUCGUCGUUACAUCCUUUGGGCUAGAAAGCCUUAUUUGAUUUGACCUAAUUUCAUUAGCCCUGAACCAAUUCAAUUAUCUUUUAAUUUCUCAGAGUUAAGUACUUGGGCCAGCGGGUCUUUCUUGGGUUUAUGUAAUUUCUUGGUCUUGAUAUAUGAUAUCAAUACUCAUUCAUAGUAAAAAAAACUCAUAAACCAGGAUAUGAUAUAUGAUUGAUAGUACAAAAUUUAUAUAUUUGGCGAGAGCCGAUAUAUAUGAUUAAUAAUUUAUAUCCAUUAAUAAAAAAUUAUAUAUAUAGUGAUAGAGAUAUAUAUGAUUUCGAAUAAUUGUAAUUCCCUUAUAAUCUUUUUAGAUUACACCUUUCAGUUUACCGUCAAUACGUUAUAUAUGUGUUUUGUUUUGAAUUUUUAAUGAAAAUACGUGUAUGUCACUUCAUAAAAAAAUUUAUCCAUUAAUGGUUCAAGGAAUCAAGUUUUGAAUUCAUAGAUGAUAAGAGUUUUUUUAACUCUUUAAUGUUGGAAGGAGUCCUUUUUAGUGUGAACGUCGUUAUUAUACCUAUAUUUAAAAUUAUUUUUUAAAAAAAUUAAAAUAAUAUGUUUGCAUAUUAAAUUAUUUUAUGUGUAUUUAAUACAAUACACAUAUUUUAUUAUCAAACAAUAUACAAUUAUAUAAAAUAAAAAAACCGAAAGCUCUCAUAAUAAGUCGGCGAUUAAGGUGGGCGACGCCUAUUGGCAAAGAUGGCAACGAAAGUGUCCGUGGAUGGCGGCAAACAUGGCUGACAAAUGAAGGUGACUCUAGCUAGCAAAUGGAGGUGACUUUAGAUGGCGGUGUUGCCGCCAGAUAGCGGUGGAAGUGGAUGGUGACUGUGGCUGAUGGUCGAUGGCAGACGUGACUGCAUGCCUUAGAGGUUGACGCGGAUGGCGCCUGACGAUAGUGGUCGGCAAUAGGCGACGGAGGUUGUCGGCAGAUGAGGAGGCUGACAAUCGUUGUUAAAGAUCGGCGAUUGAGGUUGCCGGUGGAUGACGGCUGGCGAUGGUGAUAUGCAACCAACGAUUGAUGUUGUCGGCGGAUGAUGGCUAAUGAUGAUUGUCGGAGACCGGUGACGGAUGGCGACUGACGAUAGUGGUCGGAAACCGACAGGGGAGCUUACCAGUGGAUUUCGGCUGAAAGAGGUGGCUGGGAUGGCCGCCGACUACUGGCGGAGGUUGCCGGCAGUUGGAGAAAAUCGUCAUCAAUUUUUUCGAUGACCAGGAAAAGCGCCGGAAAAGUUAUAUUGAAGUCAUCGGUAAAUCUUAUAUUCAAGUUUUCACCCGUUAGAAGGUCCUCAUUCAUGUAACGGCCAAGAUAAGGUUGCCGUUCAAAUGAAUACGAAUAUUAUUCAUCUGGAGUUUGGGACAUUUUGGAAAGAACGAAAGAACGAAAAGAAAUGAAAAUAAUAAACAAAAAUUGGAGGAGGAUUUGUGACGACGUUGAUCGCUAAACUUCUGUGAACCGCAUAAUAUAAUAUAUCCAUGCAUGCUGAGAAAUUAAAUGGUACAUAGAACCUUCGGAGGAAGCUAGCUAGGAAUUAAUUAUUAUAAGUAGCUAGCAAAUUAUGACAGCUCCAGCGACCAGACUUGUAAUUCGUUCAAACAUUGAUUCAACGGAAGGUCAAUGAAGCUGUAGGAUUUCGUCACCUCCACCAUACGUCAUACCUGACCACAUUUAAAUAUACUUAUUUUUAUAUAUAUAUAUUGGCGCCAACUCUGAAGGAAAUAAUUAACAACUAACGAUUAUAUAACAGCAGAGCGUGGAGGAUAGAGUUUCAGGCAGGAAUAAUAGGAAGGAAGCCAGGAAAGGCAUUAUUAGUGGCGAAGAUGAGCAUCAUUAGCAGGAUGUGAAGUAUGGUGGUGUCCGGCGGAGACCGUGGGGGAAGUACGCCGUGGAGAUACGUGACCCGGCCAGGCGAGGCUGCUGGAAUAAUGUGAUUUUUGAAAUGUAAAGAAUGGAAGUUUGAUGAUUGAUAUGUGAAAAGAUGAAAUUGAGUGAUUGUUUUGUAAAGUAAAAAAAAGUUGUUGAGAGAAGUAGAGGAAGCGAGCUGCUUCUUGUCUUUGUUUUUGGAAUGAAGUUGCUUGAAUUGAUACACAAUAGAUGUAAGGCUUUAUAUAGCCUUUACAAACUUAACAAGACAAAGUACAUUUAUUUUAUCAUCUUAUCACAACUAACUUUAUUUAAUUUUGGUGGCUUGAUGAUGGAGAUUUGUUGGUGGCUUGUUGGUGGAUUAUGUUGGUGGCUUGUUGUUUAUGAAGUGAGUGAAAGAUCCAUAUUUUAACAGAGGCUCUAGGCUGUGGCUGGGUACUUAUGACACUGGGGAGGAGGCAGCUCGUGCUUACCACAAAGCACCCUUCAACAUCAGAGGAAACCUCGCCAUCCUCAACUUUCCGAACGAGUAUUACUUGCGGCCGAGUCCUAAUAAUGUCGCCGGUGGCCGGGGCGGGCGAGAUUUGGAGGACGAGGGAGGGAGAAAGGAAGAGAAGCAGGUAUUGGAGUUGGAGUACUUGGAUGACAGCUAGCUCUGCUGGUUCGCUCGGUUCCUUCUUCAUCUGGCGAGAAGGAAGAGCUAUCUGAUCAGUUGCAGUGAUCAUGGAUUGCAAAAAGGAGAAUUACUCCAUAGGAUCAUUAAUGGAAGCUAAAGCACAAGAGAAAAUAACAUAGGGAGGAAGAUGGGGUUGGGGCGAUUGGGCUUCUUAGACGGUGGUCAAAGGAGGAAGUAGGGUCGACGGGGAAGAAUCGACGUUGGUGAAAGGAAAUUGUUAUAAUUAGUUAUGUAAAAGAGAGUUGAUUCAACAACACUAUUCCUAUAAAAUGAAUUUUCAAAAUUGUAAUGGGAGAGCUGUAUUUUAACAAAAUUUGAAAUUUUUUGUGAUUUUAGUAAUGGAAUGACUUAUGCGAUUUUUGAAGAAAAUAAACAAAAAAAUAUUAAAAUAAAAAAAAGAUGAAGAGGUUAACUAUUGACAGAUUUUAAUUAAAUAUAAAAUAUUAAUGAUUAAUUUGAAGGUUAUUUUAUUUUCAAGAGCUAAAUUAACAUCUUUUAAUAAAAAAAUAAAAUUAAUUAAUAAUAUACUAUCACAUAGUGUUUACAUUCGGUGCAUGUUUCCACUAAAGUGUUCAUUAUUAAUUAAUUAUAUACAAAUUUUGUAAACAAAUUAUAGCAUAAUUAUNNNNNNNNNNNNNNNNNNNNNNNNNNNNNNNNNNNNNNNNNNNNNNNNNNNNNNNNNNNNNNNNNNNNNNNNNNNNNNNNNNNNNNNNNNNNNNNNNNNNNNNNNNNNNNNNNNNNNNNNNNNNNNNNNGUCCAAAUGAAACUAAGUAAAGAACAACAAAAUAAAAAAAGUUACACCCAAUUAAUUUGUUUCCAAUUUAAUACCAAAAUCCUAGUUGUUUUUGUUUUGGGUGGAAAAUUUUUUGCGUUUGAAGAUUUUUGAUCUUUUGGAAAUGAAUUAAUUACACGAUUUAUAUUUAUUUAAACAAAGUUAGAAUGAGGAUGGUUAAUGUUUAUAUAUCAUGGCUAUUUGCAUUAUCUAUUGCUAUUCUUAUGGAGGUAUUAAGAGAGAUUCAAACUAUAAUUAAAGCUAAUGAAAAAGUAAGGUCGAGUGAAAGAUAAAUUUGGACAGACUGUCUGUUUGGUGUGAUUUUGUCUAUCUCCUUUCCUUCUUAGGUCAUCUCUUGUAUUUAUAGGCCAUGAGUGGUUAACAUCUUGGGAAGAAGCACCUGUCAUGGUAGUUACUUCCCACUACUUAAUGUGGCUAUGAUUAUUGGCGGUUCAUAUCAUUCAACUAUAUGUGAUGGCGGUUUCUUCUCUUCAAUGUGCUCGGUGUGGUACCUUACAGCUUAAUGGCCUUACCUUAGAGGUUCCUUCAUGAUGGAAUGAUGGCAAGCCUUGACAUGAUGAUCAUAAUGGUUGUGAUGAUCACAUACGUGACGAAAAUGGCCCACCGACCAUAUGAUUAUGUUAUGGUACCAUUGAUAGUUUGAUUAUUGGUAGCCACAUUGAUCCUACCUUGACCAGUUUUUGCUCCGGGUUUGAUGAUAUUUGAUGGUUAUAAGUGCCCGGUUUGAUUAUUAGUGCAUUUCGUGCUCGUUUCCUCUCGAACGGACCAUUUCGGUUCGUUUCAAUUGUUUCUUGGAGUCUCUUUCAUGAUUUCAGGUAUUCGUUGGAUAGAGGGUUCGAAUACAAAGCCGAUGGUACCUUCCGGAGCGAAAUCGGAGUCCGAAUGAAGAAGUUUAGCUGAAAGAAGUCGAUCAAUGCUGAUGUUGACCAGUCAAGGCCGUGUCACGGCCGUGAUGGGGAACCUGUUAUUCCGCAACAAUUGGAUGAUCCAAAACCCGAAUAAGGUAUUUCCCCAUAGUCGUUCUCAUCUUAAUUUGAUCCGUAACCGUUGAGUGAUAUACUUGCAUUCCUGGUUUCCUGUUUCAUUUAGUAGUUGUUAUGUUUUCAUUUUAUAGUUUAGAAUUUGACUCUGAGAUAUUUGAGUAUCAUCAUUUUAUAGUCUAGGAUAAAACUGUUUGCAAACUGUGAUCGACUAACCAGCGAACCAAAGCUGAGUAGUGAAGGCCAAGUGACCCGAGAGAAUUCGACUCUGAGGUAUCUCAUGAUCAUUUGAUUGUUUGGGCUGUAAAAUCCUGACAUCAAGUUGGCGCCGUUGCCGGGGACAUACUUGACUUCACGAAAGGUGUAGGUAGGAUUGCUCGCUUAGUCUUUGUUUUCAUGUUUGUACAUAUUUGAUUUCUUAGUUGGUUUUUGUUUCUGUUUGUGCAGUUUGUUUUUGUUCUUUUUCACCCCUUUUGUGUUUGGUGUUUUGGAUAGUUCAGCUUUGUUUGCAGGAUGAAGUAUGGAUAACCAUGCACAUAUGUAAUUUGACCCUACCAAUCAAGGCUUCCCGUCGGUUCAUUAUGGAUAUCAGAAUGAGUAUGAUUGUGGUUAUGGUGAUUUCACCAAUGGGAAUUUGAAUGAUCAAGGCUAUUCAAAUUGGCAAGACCAAUCUAGCUUUCAUGGUGAUUCACAAUUUGGAAACUCGAUGAAUGGGAAUUAUGGUCCCUCCACUUCCAAUGAAGAUACUGUUAAGCUAAUCCAAGACAUUGAAGCUCGCUAUCAUGCCGAUAUAGCUAUUCAAGUGGCUCACAAUGCAAGGAUUGAAUCAACUUUGGGAGAGCUUCAAGAGUCCAUCAAUGUCAUAGCUUUCCAACUCAAAGAAGAAAGAAAUAGUCACCGAGCAUCUCAACAAGAAACUAGCUCUUCACGCUCUAUCAUGAAAACAAAAAGCGUUGAGAAGUUGUUAAGUGACUUUACAAGACAACUUGGGGCUAGAUUGGUAAAACAAGAAGACAAGAUUGAUCGCUUGUUAAGUAAAAUGGAAAUCCUCCAAGAUGCUUUCUUUGAAUUGGAAUACAAGACUCGAGCUUGGCAUACUAACAUUUGAGAAAAAAUUAAAGUGGCGGGACAAAUUGAAGAUGUUGGUGCGAUCGAGGAGGAGUCUAAAGAUGAGAAGGCUUUUUUGGCUAGGCUGAGACAGGGCGACAUUGAAGAAUUUCCGUUCUACUUCUUUGAUGAAGAAGAGGAAAAUUCAUAUAUGGCUAAGUUGAGAAAGGAUAUAAUUCCUAGUCCUCCUCUUCUGGUCAAAGACAUUGAAAUUCCGUCCUACUUUUUCGGAAGUGUAGAGGAUGAGGAGCUUUAUAGAGUUCACAAUGUUAGCACCACUCCCUUGGUCAUAGAUGCUCAUAAUGCACCCGAAGAGCCUAAGGUCUUAGAAAAGUCAACCAUUUCAAAUGGCGACUCUACCUCCUCUUCAAAUGAAACAUCAACGAAAUUCUCUGAACCUCCUACUAGGGCAACCAAAAGGAAGCGUCUAAGUAGAAGGAAAAGGAAGAGGCGCCGCAACGAAUUGAUGAUAGUUGAGGAAGCCGAGAGCAAGAAGGAUGUGCCUUUACUUAGUCCUUUAAUGAAUAUUGACACCACUCCUACUGGUUGUGUUGAGUUUACUCAUCCACAAUGGGGAAGCAUUCAAGUUACUUUUCCUAACCACAUCUACUCAACGACCAACGAUUACAUGAACUACAAGAAGCUUCUUGGAUGGGAUGGUGAUUGCUAGUCUAGCUCCACUUCACCACGUCAAGCUAAUGACGUUAACUAAGCGCUUCCGAGAGGCAACCCGAGUUUCUAUCAUUUUCUUUUAAUUCUUUGCUCUUUUCUUUGUUUCUUAUAUUUGUUUCAGGUUUUCCAACAUUCCUCUAAUCAUCGACUUGGAUUAUUCUAUUUUGCAGCAUCUUUGUGGGUUGUUCCACCCUCCAUCCUUUGUCCUUGUUCUUAACGGUACACUUUCUCCUACUCUACUAUAUUUUGGUCCCAUUGAGGACAAUGUGAUGUUUAAGUGUGGGGAGAAUUGUGAAAGUGCACCAUGCUUGUUAUUGUUGGAUGUUUAGGGUGCUAGUUCAUUUUGGCUUCUUCUUUGGAUUGAUGCAUAUUGUGGCUUACUUUUGCUUUUCGAACCUCCCUUUCGAAUUUGAAUCUGUGGAUGUCUUUGGAUGCAUUCUUUGUAUUUUCAUACUGCUUGAGGAUGAAUAGGUUGCUAAGUAAAUCAUUUGUGGACCACCUCCCAUUUUUCUGAAAUUAGUUUGCUUCGAACUUGUGCAUAUGGAAGUAAGAGUUUUCGCCUCUACUUGUUUGAUAUGUAUGAUAGAUUCUCUUUGUAGAGCUUGUUUGUGGUGUUAUGAAGUCAAAAUGGACGGUACAGAUCCGAAUGAGGAUGCUUGAAUAAAAAUGUCUUUGGGUUUGGUUACAACCUAAACACGUGUGGCGACCCUUGAGGUCCGCCUUCUUCCCAACCUUUAUGAGGUUUUGGGCGUGGGACGGAGACUGGUUACUUUCGAGUCCGGUCAUGGUUGUAUCAAUUCUCUUUGAAAAAAAAAGUAAAGAAAAGAGAGGAAGAAGAGUUAGUUGAAAACCAAUACAAAAGAAAGAAAAGCAGAAUAAAAGAAGAGGGGGGUGCUAGUAUUUUUGGUGAUAGUUGUGUUAUGAUUAGACAACCCCUCCCUUAGGAGGGGGGAAAUACCCAGCCAGAACCGUCCGUCCGUCCAUUUCUUCCGCUAGUACCACACGACAUAAGUGCAAUGGAGAAACUCUUAUAUAUUCGCUUGUAUAGGUGUUUAGUCAUAAUCUCUAUAUGUUUGAGUUUGGAGUGAACUUUUCUAAGGGAUUCGGUGUCUUGUACAUAAUUGAGUGGUUUGAUGAUCAACUUGCAAUUUUGGCAUCGAGAAGUAGGCUUGAAAUGCUAGGCUAUGUAUUUCCUUUCACCAUGAUUCGAGUCCUCUUUGGGUGUUAUUAGUAAAUUUGCUUGAGGACAAGCAAUGUUCAAGUGUCGGGGAUUUGAUAGCUUGAUUAUUUGUAGCCAUAUUGAUCCUACCUUGACCAGUUUUUGCUCCAGUCUUGAUCAUUAGUGUCUGGUUUGAUCAUUAGUGCAUUUCGUGCUAGUUUCCUCUCGAACGGACCAUUUUCGUUCGUUUCAAUUGUUUCUUGGAGUCUCUUCCUUGAUUUCAGGUAUCUGUUGGAUAGAGGGAUCGAAUACGAAGCCGACGGUACCUUCCGGAGCGAAAUCGGAGUCCGAAGGAAGAUGUUUUGGCUGAAAGAAGUCGAUCAAUGCUGAUGUUGACCAGUCAAGGCCGUGUCACGGCCGUCACGCCUGGUCUGGGCAGCAACAUUAAUUCAGCCCCAGACGCGAUUUCAGAGGGGGAAGAAGACAGAAAAUGACGAACUAAACACAAAAUUGGUGAUAAGUGGUUUUAGGAUGUGAGUUUAUAAACCCGAUCUUAAGACCCGAAAUAUAUCAUUAUCCAUGUUCCUGUUUAUUCUGCUGCUGAAUAGUUUCUCAUAGUCCUUUGGAUGAUCCAAAACCCGAACAAGGUAUUUCCCCUAAGUCGUUCUCAUCUUAAUUUGAUCUGUAACCGUUGAGUGAUAUACUUGCAUUCCUAGUUUCCUGUUUCCUUUAGUAGUUGUUCUGUUUUCAUUUUAUAGUCUAGGAUAAAACUGUUUGCAAACUAUGAUAGACUAACCAGCGAACCAAAGCUGAGUAGUGAAGGCUAAGUGACCCGAGAGAAUUUGACUCUGAGGUAUCUCAGGAUCAUUUGAUUGUUUGGGCUUGAAAACCCUAACAUCAACCAUAUGAACACGUGACUGUAGUCAGGAUUGACCAUAAGAUGGUAAGUAGGGGUGCCGCCUCGAGAGAUGGCAGCGACACGAUGGCGCAACUGUAAGUUGGAAUGAUGAAACAACACAGUCCCACAAAUGAGUGUCGCGCUUGAAGACGAAAUAGAACGGUGCCGCGAAUGAUGACGAUAUGCCACAAUGCUACGAGUGAUGACGACAUGGUACGGUUCCGCCAGUAUUGGCGACAUGGCACCGUCCCGCGAGUGAACACGAGUCCGUGAGUGAUGGCGGUACGACACGGUACCGCGAGUGAGCAUGGUGCCUUGAUUGAUGGCGUCACAUGGCACGGUGUCGUUAGUAACAGCGACACGACACGGUGCCCCGAUGCAUCAAUAGGAAGAACACAUCCUUGUGUUUAGAUCACGUCGUGUUCUUUAAAUAUAUAGAAUUUGAUAAUUUCAACGACAUAAAAGUCAUAGACAAUUGAAUUAGCUUUCCAACAUCACUGACCUUGCAUCGAUCGGAAUUUCGAGCGAUGAGUUAUGCUCAAAAUACUAAACUGUGACGUUUCUUCUCAAGUCAAACGCAUUGAGUUGUUCCGGCCUCCUCGUCAUGCCUUGGUUCAUCCUGAGAUGCCAUAUGACACCUAAAAUGUACCAAAAACAUUCAAAGCAACGUAACACAACAAGAGGCCAAGAGGAACUUCUGAACGGAUAUUACUUGUCUCAAAUAAACCUAGAUAAUGAAUUAACUAGAGUUGAAUUUCCCUAGGGUCUCUUUAUCGUGACUAUUCAAAGUUAUGAAAAGUGUUAAUCGGCUAAAAGGUUUGUGGUUUAGGUGCCACGAGAAUCAAUCAAUCAAAAAGAAAAUGAAAUUUCUAUAAAUUAAAAACUAAAAUAAAGGUUGCAAGACUGCACGAUAUGAGGGUUGAAACAAACUAGAGAAAAUGGCUUAGACUUUAAAUCCUCCUAGAUUAUCCAAAUUCAUGAAUGACUAACAAAUUCAACGAUUUGAGCAAAACAAGAUAGAUUUAAUUAACCGUCGUAGUCCUUCUCUAAUCAAAUCACACCCUUUUGGGUCCGCUGAUCUGCUACCUAUCUACUAUCCCAAUAUGCUCUUUCGAGACGUAGAUAUGAAAUCCACUAGGCGACAAAAAGAAUGAGAACUACUCACACGAUAGACUAGUUUAUUCGCUCCCGGAUGAGGGUUAACACCUAACCUAGUUGUUUAAUUUCCGUGUUCUAGAUAUGCAAGCUCUUUCGACACGAAGAAAAAUCUAACAAAGUGCUAUUCAAGACGGCCAAUCAAGAAUAAGAACGAAAACGAAAUCAAACAUAAACCAAAAUCCAUCCAACUCGCAUAAAUCGUCAAAGUCAAACAAUCAUACGUUCAUAAGGAAUUACCUAGGGUUCAUCUAAUUUAAGCACAAGGAGUUUAACUACUCAUAAUCAUAAAGAAAAACUCAAAAUCAACAAAGGAAUACAUUGGAUUUAUGUUUACAAGAAGAAAUCCGAAAAACUAAUCUCGCCAAGAACUGUGGAGGAAAUCGAUCCGCCAAUCUUGAUUAUGUCUUCUGAUCCGAGCUCCUUGAAAUUGAAGCCUUCUGAAGUCUCUGGCCUCUCCUUUAACUUUCAUUCAAAAGGGUCUCCUUCCAAAUAAUGAAAGAUCUGUCUUUAAAUAGGAAAAGAGUUCCUUAUUGGGCAAGGAGUUUCACUUUGACCAUCACGCUAAUCUGUUCUCGGCAGUUUUGGCCCCAAACCUUGACAGUUCUGGCCAAAGUUAUCACCAUCAAAGUUGUAAGAAAUCAAGCUAUCUUUUCAAUGCCGCAUGCUUUGCAUUAAUCGGACUUUGGAUCAAGGAGUUAUACUCAAAAUACUAAGUAUAGCGCAAAGAUUGACGAAAUUUCCAGAAACGAUUGUCAACUUUGCUGCUAUGGUUAUGUGUCAAUAUUGCCUCCAUAGAGGAAAUAUUAACAUAACUUCCUGAUUUCCAACGUCGCCGGCCUUGCAUCAAUCGGACAUCUGCACUGUGAUGUUUUUCGAACAAGUCGAGAUCCAAGCUCCUUGAAGAUGUCAAAAUGCUUUCUAUUGCUUUUCCUAGACCAUCCACACACAUCGUAUCGCUCCGAUUAAUGCCUUGAUGUCGUUAUGUACCUGAAAUCUAUAAAAAAACAAUCCAAAACGACAUGAAAUGGGCCCCGACCGGGUCUGAUACACUAAAUCUAGAUAUAAGCUUAAAAUGCAUAAAAGAAUCUUAAACUUCUACCUAAAGCAAUACAAUUAUGCAUGAAAUAUCACUUAAAUGAGGUGAUAAAUGUGACAAAUCUAGCGUCAUCAAAUAACCCCACACUUAAGUUUUGCUUCCCCUCAAGCAAAAAGCUGAUAAAGUUAUGAAACACAUCUACAAUCAAAUCAACUACUAACAUAGAUAAAAUCCACAUUCCUCAAAGCAUCCAUAAAUUGCUUAACAGACAAGCGAACCUUUAAAUGAAACCGAAAUAGGUAGUAAAGGCCUCACAAGAAGUUCUUCAACUUGCCACACAUCAUCACACAUGUUAUACAAUCCAUCUAGACUUAUUCUCAAAAGGACUCGACUUAAAGAUGAAGUCGAAAGAACUCACUCAAGUGUUCGAGAAUAGUGUUAUGCGCUCAUCAUCAACUCUGAGGUGGGCUUCAAACACUUGCACUUAAUCCUACUUUUACUCAUUACAUCAAGGCACAUCAAACACUAAUCAAGAAGUCUUUUAUUCGAGGUUGUAAUGUGGAUAGAAAAGAGUAGAGAAGGUCAAAUGAUUUUGGUGGUAGGCGUACAUAGUGGCGGACGACUCGGUCUAAUCUAAUAUGGAGUGAAGCUACCAGCACAACUAAAACUAUGCAAGGAUCCAACUUUCUAUAGGAGCUCAAACUAGCUCGUCUAUCUCUUAUUCUAACUACAACUCCGAGCAUUUAUGCUCGUUUAAUCAACUUUUUUAUUUUUUCAAUUUUUUUAUCUCGAGACUGUGUUUUUUCACUUGUCUCUUCCCUUUUUGCGAGAGUCCUGCCUUCUUUUUCUCUUUUUCUAUUUCAAAAUUACACCUAUUAAUCAAACAGAUUUAAAAGACACUAUACAAUCAUACAUUCUUCAAAACGUAGAAACUUUAUUAACUCCUAGACUCGACCGAGUUACAUGCCACUAAUGUACACAUGAUCAAAUGAAGGCUUGAAAGAAGGGGAUACAAUAUUAUGGGGGUUAUGAAAAAGGGCAGUUGGCUAUAAUUGGGUUUUUCUAGGAAAAAAUAUAAGGAAGGGAUGGAUAUUUUGUGGUGGAGUUUUUCUAAUUGCCCCUAUCAUUUUAGUGAAUCAGUGUCGAGCGAAUUCAGUUCGGAAUCAUGCAAGUGUCGGAUUAACAACAAACAGAGAUGACCACUCAAAUCAAUUUAUGAAAUAAUCUAUUGAUGAAGCAGAUUAUCUAUACUACAAAAAUGGUCUUUUAGGCCUCGCAUUGUUUUGCUAUAUGGUAAUUCGAUAACAUGCAUGUCUGGUCACAUGAAGUUGGAGAGUCCAUGCUACUUUAAACACAUCAAAGUAACUCUAAAGAAUGAAUCAAUAGCCUUUGAUCAUAGGCCAAGACUCCUAUCAAAUUUAGGUUCAUGAGUAAAUUAGCAAUUCAAGUGUGGAAAUCAUAGGGAAAUAUUCUAAGCAUGCCAAGUAAUCAAUUCAAAGAUGGUUCCAAUAAACUUGAGAUUUGGACUAAUAUGCAAGACGACUACCCAACAAAACCAGCUAACAAGAAUCCUAUAAAAACCCACCCCACACUUAGUUUGGAGACUGUCUUCACUUAACGAAACGAAAAGUUUCAUAGGAAUACCUGGAAGCCGUGAGAAAUCCGAUAAGCAAGAUGCAUGAUCCAUUAAGUCCGAGAUCGGUUGUGACACUAACUCAUGAAAAGACGUAAAACAUACACAAAGAAAAAAUAAAAGUAAAAUGGACUAGGACAAGUGUCCAAAACCCACACAAAAUAAAAUGAAUUUAUGAUCCAAAAAGAAAGAAAGAAAAGGUCCUAAGGUGAAACCUAAACAUCAAGACUGACUCUAAAAUUGAAAAAUUAAAAUGACUCCAAAUAUGGGAUGCCUCCCAAGAAGCGCUCUUUCUUUAACGUCUUUGAGCUAGACGAUACCUGGAUGGUUAUGCAAUCCAACUAAUUACCUCUUUGAAUGCCAUCGGUUUCUUCAUGGUGAAAAGUUGAGUGUCGAGAAAUAGUUAAAGCCGAUGAUGGAAUAACCUGAGAAUUUUACUCGAAAAAUAUUUGUCAUCCCCAAAUGACCAACUCCUUCUAAAAUUAUAUGCUUGAGGAGGAAAACGGUAGAAAGGUGUAUCACCAUCAACAACCUCAACCUUCUCCAAACUAGUGAUGGCGCUUGAAACGUCUUCUGAUUUGAGCGUGAGUGGUUCUUCUUCUACGAUCUCUUCAACCUUGGUGUUCAGGUGCUUGCUAUCAGUUUCCUGACACAAGAACUUCAUGACCGAGCAAGAAUUUUGAAUGGCCUCAACAUUCUUUGGUGGAACCACAAUUUGAGCGAUUCCCUCGUCGAUGGAGCUUUGAAUGUCCUCUGUCACCAAGCUUGGAGUAUGAGCUUCAUCUUUCCAUAAUGUUUCGAUGAGAUAAUCACUGCCAUCUUCUUCAUGUUCUUCUAGUUCUUCAUCACAGAUAGCUUGAAUUUCCUCAAUGACUUGGUCCCGCAUAUCUUCAUCAUCAUCCCAAAAGCUUGAAGAAGACCCAUCCCAUUCACAUUUUCCAAGUUCAUCACCAUCACGUAUAUCCUAAACUUCUGUAAUGAUUGGUGUAUCCUCUAGAUCUUUGUCGUCAUCCUCUAAGAAGUUAAAAGGUAAAUUAGUCUCAUCCAACUGAGGAUCUUAUAGCUUUUCCUCACCGUUGGCUACAUUUUCCAGGUUGGGUUCAUCUUCUUCCUCUAUCACUAUCAUGUCUCUUGUAAUAGUGAACACAUCCUGAAUGUCUUCAUCACCGUCAAGCAUGUCAUCCUUGUCAAGGGGCUUGCUGGUUGCGGGCUCCAUCAUCUCCUCUCUAGCAUUCUUUCUCUUCAUAAGUUCUUCCUGGGCUGCCUUCAUUUCCUCAAACCACAAUAUGUUUUUAACAACGUUGUAUUGAAUGUACUCUUUUAGUUCUUCAAAAGCUACAGGAGAUUGAUAGUGAUAGUUCUGCGUAGGCUCCUGGUAGUAUGGAGGUGAGUAUGGAUCUUCAUGACGGUAAUGACAUGGCGAUUGUUCUGGAUAGAAAUAUGGUGAUGGUUUAUUCUCGUUCUGACUCCACCAUUAAUUGUGUCUUAUGUAGUCCUGCAUCAUUAGACUCAAACAAAACAACCAAGGUGAAACUAGCAAAAGAAAAAAAUUCAAAAGAUGGAUAUAUACAAUGAAUGAAUAAACACUAACACACUCCUUUCAAACACAACAAAGAAGUCCCCUACAACGGCGUCAAUUUGAUGAAUGGACUUUACUCGUAUCAAAAUAAACCUAGUUAAUGAAUUAACUAGAGUCGAAUUUCCCUAGGGUCUCUUUAUCAUGACUACUCAAAGUUAUGAAAAGUGUUAAUCGGGUAUCAAGUUUGUGGUUUAGGUGCCACGAAAUCAAUCAAUAAAAAAAAAUGAAAUUGCUUUAAAGUUACUAGGUUGCAGGACUGCAUGAUAUAAGGGUUGAACCAAACUGGAGAAUAUGACUUAGACAUCGAAUCCCCCUAGACUGUCCAAAUUUACCAAUGACAGACAAAUUCAACGAUUUAAUCAAAACAAGAUAGAUUCAAUUCAUCGUCAGAGUCCUUCUCUAAUCAAACCACGCCCUUUCGAGUCCGACCUAUCUACUAUCUCAGUUCUCUCUUUCGGGACGAAGAUAUGAAAUUCGCUAGGCGACAAAACGAACGAGAACUGCUCACACGACGGACUAGUUUAUUCGCUCCCGGAUAAGGGUUAACGCCUAACAUAGUUCUUUAACUUCGCUGUGCUAGAUAUGCAACCUCUUUUGAGAUGAAGAAAAAUAUAACAAGGUUCUAUUCAAGAUGACCAAGCAAGAAAAAGAACAGAAACGAAAUCAAACAUAAACCAAAAUCCAUCCAACUCGCAUAAAUCGUCAAAGUCAAACAAUCAUCCGUUCAUAAGGAAUUACCUAGGGUUCAUCUAAUCUAAGCACGAGGAGUUUAGCUACUCAUAAUCAUGAAGAAAAAAUCAAAAUCAACAAAGGAACACAUUGGAAUUAUUUUUACAAGAAGAAAUCCGAAAACCCUAAUCUCGCCGAGAACCGUCGAGGAAAUCGAUCCGCCAAUCUUGAUUAUGACUUCCGAUUCGAGUUCCUUGAAAUUGAAGCCUUCUCGUCGCUCUGAAGUCUCUGACCUCUCCUUUAACUGUCGUUCAAAAGGGUCUCCUGCCAAAGAAUUAAAGACCUAUCUUUAAAUAGGAAAAGAGUUCCUUGCUGCGCAAGGAAUUUGACUUUGACAGUCACGCUAAUCUGUUGUCGACAGUGUUAGCCCCAAAUUUCGACAGUUUUGGCCAAAUUUAAUAUCAUGAAAGUUGUAUCGAACUAGCGUUUCAAUGUCGUUGGCUUUGCAUCAAUCGAACUUCUGAGUUAGGAGAUAUGUCCAAAAUACGAAAUUGCGAAUUUUUUUGACCAAGUCGAGAUCCAAUCUCCUUGAAGAUGCCAAAAUGCCUUCCAUUGCUUUUCCUAGACCAUCCACACACAUUAUAUCACUCCGAUUAAUGCCUCGAUGUCGCUAUGUACCUGAAAUCUAUAAAAAAUACUCCAAAACGACAUCAAAUACACCCCGACCGGGUCCGAUACACUAAAUCGAGAUAAAAGCAUAAAAUGCAUAAAACAUCUUAAAAUUCUACCUAAAGCAAUACAAUUACGCAUGCAAUAUUACUUAAAUGAGGGCGAUAAAUGUGACAAAUCUAGCGUCAUCGGGAACCAAAUAUGUACUAAACGUCAUGCAUUCGAACAUAGGCAUCCAAACGUCAGAUACCCUGUUGUAACAGCGGGGGUAUAUGUUGUCAUAUAACAACACUAAAAUAAAAAGGAUAAAACUGGUAAUUUGACCAACUGAUUUAUUUCAUCUAAAAUUCUAGAUAUGGUAUUUUUAAUAUCAAAACUACUAAUAAUGAGAAACUCCAAAAAAUCCUCCUUCACUCUCUCUCUCUCUCUCUCAUUCUCUUUCUCUCUCCAAGAUCUAAAAAAUGAAGAAGAACAAGAUAAAAAGAAAAAAUAACCGAUUUAAAAGAACAAAAAAAAGAACAAAUAGAUGUGGAAAAAGGGAAGAUGAAGAAGAAAAAGCCGAUCUAAGAAAAAAAAAGAAGAUGUCGAUUUGAAAGAUAAAAAAGAAGCCGAUCUAAAAGAAGGGAAAAAGAAAAAAAUAGCAACAAGAUCAAUCUGUCGGCCUAUCCGACACCGGACGAGACACGAAUUAAUGGCUGACACGGCUGAGUUUAAUGGAGAAUCCGACGAAAGCGCUCUCGUUGUAUUAGAUCCAAGCGGCUCCAACGAACAAAGGGUUCACGGCCACCGCCGCACAGGAAGGAAGGCAGCGGAUCUGGAAGAAGGGAAGAAGAAGUCGAUUUGGAAGUAGAAGAAGAACUCAAUCUGGAAGAAGGGAGGAAGAAGAACGAUUCAUGAAGUUUGUCGGUACUCGUGUGAUUUUUUUCAUUUCGUAUAUGUACCAUCGGGAGGUUGGUGGUACUGAUUUUGUUGUGUUUGUACCAUGUGUAGUUUGUAGGUACUGGUUUUUGUCUCAAAAUCCCGAAUAGUCACAGAUUAGUACCUGUGAAUGUGCUCUACUACAGAUUUACUAUUGUUUUUGUCUAGUUCUGUACAUGUGAAUGUACUCUAGUACUAAGUACUAUAUAGUGUGGUGAUACAGAUUUUAAUUAUAAGUAUAAAUUUUGUAUGUGAUAUUUUAAUUAUAAGUAUAAAUUUUGUAUGUGAUAAUGUAAUAACAUGUACCGAUUUGUAUUUAUAAGUACUAAUUUAUAUAGUAGAUACCAAUUUUAUCUCCAAUUGCAAUUAAAAGGUGAUACUGAGUUAUAUAAACUUUGUACCAUAUAUAUAUAUCAGGUACUAAUUAUCUCCNNNNNNNNNNNNNNNNNNNNNNNNNNNNNNNNNNNNNNNNNNNNNNNNNNNNNNUACCAGUACAAAUUUGAAUAAUAUAUAGAUAUCAAUUUAUCACCAACUGCGUAUCUAAGACUUUAAAGUGGUACUGAUUUAAAUAAACUCUGUACCGAACGUAUAUAUCAGGUACCAAUUGUAUUUCGAAUAAUCCUUCAAUUCCUUCGACGAGUGUAUUCUUAAAAAAAAUGUAAACCUCCAACCCCUAAAUUAAAGGCUGUCAUGGCGCUAUUUAAUUAAUAAUUAAUUUUUUAAUUAAAAAGAUAGUUUAAUUUGGUUGGAUUGGUACUUUCUUAAAGAAGAGAGCAUCUAUUUAAUUAGAUAAUUAAUUUUAAAAAGGUAGUUUAAUUUGGUUGGAUGGAUACUCUCCUAAAAAAAGAGGGAACAGUUAUUUUAAAGAAUCAGAAAUUGAAAUUAUUAAGUUGGCCAAUUAAUAUAGAUCAUUAGAUUUAUUUUUUAAAAAUGAAUGGUGGAUUUAAGUGUUGUUAUGUGAAUAAAACGAGGCGGGGGGGAGGUUAUGUGAAUAAAACGAGGCGGUCAUAACAGUUUAUUGUCCAAAACGUCUAUAAAUGUCAAUUAAAAAGGGAACAAAUUUGCUAAUAAUCGAGCAUAUUAGUCAGUCAGGUUAGGUUGAUCAGAUCACGAGUUUUUCGAAUUAUGAAUUCAUCGGGUCACGUAUUGGGCGGGUUACGAAUUUUUAAACUUUUGAAAAAUUAAAUCAUGGGCUAGGUUAAAUUGGACCUGAUAGAUGAGUCCAUCAAGUCGGGUUAGGAUUUUGCCAGCUCCGAUAGAAACCAUUACUUAAAGGCUUGUAUUAAUUAUUGAUGGCCCUGAAUCAUUGGUCCAAGCCACAACUACGACCCAACUUCAACACCGUACACUAUAUGAGCCCAACACACUACUCAAUAUUAUCUGAUUUAUGGUUGAAUUCGGAAAUCUAAUCUCAGUCACCAAUCGGAUGAAAGCAGUGUCCAAAUCGAAGUCUUAUUAAAUUGUUGACCGAAUAGACAGGGCUGAACUAAUGCGACCUGAUUACUGAGGCGAAUAUAACAAAUACGAGUUUUUGGUUUGUGAUUUUUUCUUCCAUAGGGAAAAUGUGCGGGAAUCAAAUCUAAGAGGAUGCGGGAGGGCAAAGAUACAAAGAAUCUCAUUCCAAUGGCCAUCAUUUCUUUAAGGAUAAACUGGAUAUAAUGCCUGAGAUUGGGAAAGGUUCAUCGUUUACUAAUUAACCUUCUUUCAAUAAUUACCCAGCAUUUUUUAGAUUAAAUUUCGAAAAAUGCACUGAAUUCGAACUCAAAACCUUCGAGAUCAUCAGACAGCUCUACCACCGGAUAUAUCCUUCAACCACACACGUCAUUGUAAACCACAUUCUACAACAAACGAUGUUAAUUAAGCACCUUAAAAUUCAGUCCAUAUAUAUAUAUCUACUACCAGGGGCGGAGCUACAUACAAUCUAAGGGCUGCAACGCACCCCCUUGGAUUUGGAAGAAAAAAAUACAGCUAUCGACUGCUUAUGUAGAGUUUUGAACUCACUCUAUCUAAUAUCCAAAUCAAUAACAUUACCAUUUCGCCUGUUCCCGCUUCUUUUUCAAGUACUGCACAUAAAGUAUUUUUAGUUGAGCAACUAACCUAGUUAUGGUGUGAUUGGCCCGUGCACAAUGUUUUUCACUAUAAACAGUUUGGGUUCAACUCAGCUAUUAUUCAACAAUUAUGCGAAUAUGAAGUAUUUUUGUUGUUGUUUUAUACUUCUUUCAUAGUAUUAACUUACUUUUUUAUAGUACGAAUUAAACACCCCUUAAUCGAUUUUUUGGCUCCCUCACUUUCUACUACCUUACCACAGUCCACGUAACUUACUGAAGAUUGGUAACCAUACUCGAGAAGUCUCACACAAAUGGCCGAAAUGAUCCACAAUUCAAUCCGCAAAUUUUUGGGUUAACGUCAAUUUUCAGAAAUAGCAAUUUGCCACCUGUACUGAUUCGAAUCGAGCUAACCUGUAAUCCAAUUUGCCCAACUCACCCGAAAUAACAGUUAUUAAGCUUCUACUAGCUAUAUAUGUCUAGUAGUCCUGAUUGGUCCAAGAUGGAAGCUAAAUGAUUGAAGUACUGACUUGAAUAUACUAGCUGUACGUCAGCGAAAUCUCGCUUUGCAGAGAAAAGCAAAAUUGGUUGGAGUGUGUUUCCAAGUAGGCCAAAAUAGACAGUUGCUGGCGGCUGGCGGUCCAGAGAGCCAACAGACUCAGAAUGAAUGAUGUCAUAAAGACUAGCUCAACAGUCAAGUCCAUAAUAUAAUUCUAACAAAUCUUACAGAGGAUCUAGUACAUUUUUAUUAUGAUUUUGAAACAAAAUUGACAGAUGAUUACGUGUCUCUCUGACAGCUUUGUUCUCUUUGGGGGGGGGGGGGGGGGAGGGGGGGGGGACACAGACACAAUCACCAAAGUUCAGCAGCACACCGAAGUAGACAGUGAACUCAAACAGGUAACAUUACAAACUGUUGAAGAGGAAUUAAUUAAGUUGCUUCACCAGCAACACAUACAUAUGCAAGCAAAUGUGACCAAAACUGGUAUAGCUAGGUCCAUGCAUAUAUACCAUACGUGUACUCAGCUUUCAAUAAUAUGCAGCCCAACAUUUCGAAAAAGAAAAACAAUAUGCAGCCCAAAGACAUUAAUUCAAUCAAAGCAAACUGCUAACUCCAGACCAAACAUUUAUUUGACUCUCUAUACUAACACCAAUUAUAACGACUAUUUGCAUCUCAAUAAUUCGAAUUAUUGGAAGGAUUCAGGUACACCCCAUCAAACUAAAGCACUCGUAAGAUCAUGAGGUAGACUGUGAUACCAUGUCAAGAAACCAUUAAUUAUAUCCAAAGUUGUUAGGAAAUGAUUCAAAUACACUAAUACCAUACGGAAACUCUCAUAAGAUCUUAUGGUAGCUUAUGAAACCAUGUCCAAAACCAUUGCAUCCCAAUAACUUGAGUUGUUGGGAUAUGAUUCAUAUAAUUUUGUUCGGCAAAAAUAUAGCUAGGCAUCGCAUUUACGACAUUUGAAGAAGAUUUUUUUAUGAAAGCGGAUUAUAAUGCGAAUAGGAAGGAAAAAAACGCGACACAAGAAGUGAAUCAGAGUAAACGAGGACGAAAGGAAAAGAGACAAGCAAGAACAGUUACUCAAGAGAGAUUGCGAUUGAUUUCAUUGUCGCCAUUGAUCCGGAUUCGUUUGUGAACGAAUUGAUCACCAACCAAACUCAACACAACCACAACCCUCAAGAGGACGUAGAUUAAUUCCAAGAGACAACAAGAGAAAAUCACACAUCGAAGGACGGAACAAAGCAGUAACACGCUAGCUAGCUAGCCAGGGAGAGAUCUAGCCUACACGUUCUUCUCCCGUUGGAGUAACUAAACAAUGAAAUCUAUCUGAAGAAGAUUGAACUGCGAUAAGAGUAACUUAACAAUGAAAUCACAACCAAUUUCACAUAAAACAUGAGCAACUAAACGAUUGUGAUGAAUAUAGGUCAUGUAAAUGACAAGAACACUUCUCCAAUAACCGAACCAAACCAAACCAAGCCAGAUAUAUAUAGAUAGCAAAUACUGUUAGUUACCAUACAAAUUAUCUCAAAUUGAUCAUCAUCCCCAAACUUAUUAGGGUACAUAUGUAGUUACGUUCAUGACAAAUUGUCAAGAGACUGACUGGAAAAGGGUUCCAAUUUUUCACUUCCUGUGCAGGAAAGGGAAAAAGAAACCCUAAUUCAACUUCUUGCUCUUCACUAAACUCAUACUGAGAGAACAUUAAUUUAAAGAGUAAAAUUAUAUAAUAGCUAGGGUUUCGUUGCUCGACCUUUGUUUUCAAAUUUCAGCAGCAAGCUAAGCUUAGCCUUGCCUCCUCCUCCGAUUCUCUUCUUGCUCCAGCAUCUCAUCCAGCAACCUAUUGUCCAAGUACUCCAACUCCACCACUUGUCUCGAGCUGGAGGAUGACGAUCCGGCAGCUGCAGAUGUGGCAGCAGAAGCCGGGCCCCUCCCCAUGGGGUACUCAUGGGGGAAGUUGAGGACAGCAAUGUGUCCUCUCAUCGCAUACGCAGCGCGGUCGUAUGCUCUUGCUGCUUCCUCCGCACUGUCGAAUGUCCCCAACCAUAUCCUCUGCCCGUUCCUCGUCGAGUCCCGUAUCUCCGCCGCGAAUUUUCCCCAAGGACGGCGCCGGACUCCUCUGUACCUUACAUCUCCUCCUCCGCCGCCGCCUUCUUCACCUGUUGCUUGAUUGUCCAUAGUGGGGUAAGUUUUGGAAGGAAUGGUGCAUGGCGAAUAUAUGUGGAGGAAGAAUAUAUAUAUACAUGUGAUAAAAAGAUAUAGAAAUUUUCGGGCAAAUGGAGACAUGCACUUUAACUUUGUGUGGGCUUGGGCUGCAAUUGGAGAGUCAAAGUGGGGGAUUUUGCCACGUGGAGAAUCGUGUGGGUUGAACAAGGUUCUGGUUAUGUUUGAGUCCAUUGUAUCUAGAUGGUCAAGCUGAUGGCUUUGAUCACUGAAGAGGGGACCUGCAUACCCUUUGAUAGACCUUUUCUCCCCCGAUCGAUCAACAAAAUUCUGUCCCUUAUUUAUCAUAAAAAAUAAGAAAUAAAAAAAAACAAAAUUCCUUUAUUUUUUCUUUAAAUAAUAUUUUUGAUGAGAAAAAGUAGGAAAAGGGAAAUCUGUGGAGGGUUAUUAUUGUGUGUUUUUGUACUGACUGUUUACAUGCCCACUUGCUAAGCUACCUAUAUUAUAUUAUAGUGUGUCAUUAAUGAGCUCACCAUACACUUCUUUGAUAUCACCACUUUGUCACUCACGGUUACUUAAUGAUCACUUUCCUCUAUACUAUCAUCCAACAGGUUACUAUAAUAGACUAAAUUCAGUUCGAAUUGAGUACACUCCACGAAAUAGACACUUUUAUAAUAUUUAUUUAGAGAUCUCUCUCCGACAAAAUGCACCAAAUCCAAUAUGCUAACGCAUGAUCAUGAUAUUGUCCUCUACGUCAUCACUAAGCCAAGGGCUUCGAUUAACUUAUAUGUAUCUUAUGUUUGGAGUAUGGAAAUUUGACACAUAUAAUUAAAACAUCUUGGUAACUAAGUUGAGACUAAAGAUUUGUCAUUAUUUUCCUUGGUUCACUGGUCCAGAAUAUGCAUUGCAUGUGAAUUCGAAUCCAUCUAACUAAUUCAAUAGUUUGAAUUAUUGGUGGCUUUUAGUACAAACCGUAGGGUUAGUAAUCCUACAACUGCAUUGUUGCUGAUGUCAUCUUGGCUUAUAUCAUCAUGACAUCACCGUCAUCACACACCACCCAACUUAUUGUUCUUUGCAUAUAUAUCCGUACUUUCACUUUGCAUUCAUGUUUUGGAAUUUCCAAUGUUGUGAGAAAGAUAGGAAAUAUAAAUUCCUUUUCUUGUUGGUAUAUAUCAGAGAUCUUUACAUGUUGCAUGUCGGUCGGAACUUAGAAUUCCACUGUUUUUAUUUUGUUUUUAAAACAAAGAGUGGUUAUCAAAUAAAGGAAAUAUGCUUUCAAUGCGCGGCUAUUGAUCCGAUAGCCCUUUCUGUCAGGAUCAAUUCGACAAAUCGUAGCCGUUGGAUCAGGUUAAUUUUGGGCCAAUUUUUAUCCCACGGUUAAAAAUAAUGGGGUAGUUUCGGAAUAAAAAUUGAAAAAAACUCACAUGAGUGUGGUCAUUGUACGAGCAUGUUAUGUCGCUAAUACUACCAUUUUACAGGCUCGUUAUGUCGUUAUUACGUCCAUCGUAUGAGUAGUUGAAUUCGUCAUCAUUAUGUCUAGUUUACCACUCUUUUAUAUCGGUGAUAUAUACACUUUACGAGUCUGUUAUGUGUUUUUAUUAUAUCCUUAAUAGACUCAUUAUGUCGACUUCAUAUGUAAAUUGUUAUAUCCAAGUUACGUCAUUAUUACAUCAUUGUUAUGUCAUUACUAUAUCUAGUUUACGUGAGAAUAGCAGAGAGAGAAAAAAGAAAGAAAAGUUGAAAGAGGGAGAAUAUUUUUUAAAUUCUCGUUAUAUCCCUGAUAAAAUUCCAACCGUCGGAUUAAAAUUGAAAAAAAUAAUUUUGAACCGUUAGAUUAGCUGUCAGAUUUUUAUUGGACUAGUUUCCCCAUAUCAGAGAAAUUAAAAUAGCGCACCAACCUAACGUAGACUCAAUAAAAAAAUAAAAGAUGGAGAAAGAGGGGAUAUGGAAGAGAGGGUCGGACAAAUGGAGAGUCAAAAAAUAAACAAUCAAGGAAUAUCACCAAUAAGUAAAAUGAUGUUAAGCAACACGGAAGAAAAUAGAAGGAAUUGAAACGCAUAUUUAACAAUAUUGUGGGUCUCUCUGUUAAGUUGUCGUCAAAUAUAAUUACAAUGGGAAUCUGGAAAUUAUUUCAAAUAUCCUCUGAUCUCUUAAAAAAUUUCCUCACUCUUAGAAUGUAGUAAAAUUGAUUAUUGAAUACGGUAUUGUAAAAGUUUAACAUCUCCUUCAAAAUUCACAUUUAGCUUAUUGAUCCGGAAGAAAGAGCAUUUGGAUCAAUUGCAUUUUUCGCCUUUUGCGGGUCGGUUAACGUUAACUCACUUUGUACUCUCUGCGAUUCUUGCUUCCAUAUCAUACAAACUUCGGUCCUUCAAUCCACUAUUUGUUAUGAGAUUGACAGGACAAUAUCAAAUUUUGUAUGGGAAACCAUGGCGAAGUAGUGAAAGACGCACCGCACCUACUAUCUUGGGAGGCUAUCUGCGCACCUAUGCUGGAAGGGGGAUUAGGUCUUCGGUUGGUGCAUGUACUGAAUCAUGCAUACAUAAUGAAACUACAAUAAAACUUUUAUAAAUUAAUAUAGUCAAAAUUAUAAAAAAUAUUAAUUUAUAAUAGCUAUUUUGUAAUGUGUAUGGUUAACAAUAAACGACUUUAUAACCUUAAAAUUAUAUUUAUGAAUGGUGUGUUAAUUUUAUUUUAGUAUAAUUUUUUUUUAAACUUAACUUUAAGGUUUAUUAUAUUAUUUUAAUCGUCCAAAUUCAUACAUAAGUACUUGGAUACCCUGCAUUUUUGUAAAUGGUCAAAUUCAUGUUUUAAGUUACUUGCACCUCUAUAUUCAUUGAUCAUACCUUUAAUAUAAUUCAUCGAAUAUAUGGUGAUCCGAUUACUAUAAAUACUACCAAAAAUUGUAAAAAUCAUAUUCAAUAAUGGCUUCUCAUUUGAAAGGUUUCCAAAAGUCUACCAUGACCGAUCAAAUAUGUAAACCGUUAUGUGAGUUCAAUUUGCUCAAUUUUUUCAUCGGCCCAAGUCGGGACCGAAAAAUUAUUAAUUUUUUUUGUUCAAAGAACUCCAUUGAAGGAGGACCAUAGCUAACAUGCCUAAUUAGAGCGAAAAAAAUCCAAAAAAGAGGAUUGGGGUAGGGAGGAGAAGGGGGUUUUAGAAGGAUGACAAAAGGGUCAGGGGAGGGGAAAGAGAGAAAAAUGGGGAUCAUAUAGGAAGAAAAAAUCAUCGAUUAGGUAUUAACGAUCGUGUGGACCAUUAGUACUAUAGAGGUGCGGCAAAUUACGCAAUCCAAAAGAUUGUGGUAAAAAUUGGAGGAAAAAUCGGACAGCUAGAUGAGCAUCAUGAACAUUAGACCUUGUAACUUGGUAACAUCGAAAAAGGGGCCAAUCUUCUAAAAGUUUUCAUAGUUCGAGAAUGAUAGCAUCACAAAAGAAGUGUAAUUGUUUUGAGGAACCAAGACGAGUAACUACAUUGGCAGUAUUCUCUAAGAAUUUUACCUGUAAAAGUCUAUGAUGUACACAUCAUAGCAUAGCUUGCCGAAGGGCGAUGGCUUCCAAAGUGAAAGGAUCAUAAAUGUGUGGAAAACAUCCUCCACCAACGAAUAACGUGCUUUGAAAUGCAUCACGAACCACGAAACCUACCGCUCCGCCUACUGGUGAUUUAGUUGCACCAACCGUUAUUUGGAAGGAAUUUUGACGAAUGUUUGGAGCUGGGCCUGGUAAAUAAGAUGAAUGUGACUAAACCAUUUUCAUCCUGCUUAACAUGACAUCCAUAUGAGUAAUAAAUUUUGAAAGCUGGUGGUUGAAUUGAGCUUGAAGAAUUUGAGGGUGAGGUUGAAAAUUGGAGAAUAGAACAGUAUUCCGCAAUUUCCAAAGUCGCCACCAAAAGAAAAUUAAUUUAUUUCGGGUUUCAGAUGAAGUUUUAGCUACUCUGUACCAUGAGACAUAAAAAUUUUCCGGGACAACAAUAUUUUGUGGUAUCUUUAAUAGGAUUACAAGGCGAUUGACAAGUUUGCAUUGGAGGAAGAGGUGUUCAACUGUUUCUUCCUUGAUACUUGAUAGUGCUAGGAUUUGUAGUAAUGAUCUAUCCCUAUCUACAUGCUUUCAAAGUGAAUACUAGCUUGUUUGUGCUUCAAUCCCGUGUGAUUUUGCGUUUUGGUAUUAUAUCAUAAACCUUUUCACUUGGACCGUUUCGGGUCAUUUGAUGUGUUCCUUUGUGGUAUUUGUUAUCCACCGGUACUUUAGAGAGAGGUGGUCUGGCUAUGGGGUUGUGGAUGCGGAAUAGAGCACGGUUGGAGCACAAACAGAAGGACGGUGCAAGAAAUGGUGAAGAAGAAGGGUUGCACGUCGUGCAUCACUACACCCCAUGCAACUCCUUAAAUUGAAAACCUCUCGUAGCAAAAAGGGGUGUAUGUCGUGCAGCCCCAGUUGCCGAAAAAAGUGUUCAUAGCAAAAAGAGGUCCACCUCAUGCACCCCUGCACAGCGCGCACCUCCCAAAUGCAGCAGUUUUCCUAUAAAAGGGCUGAUUUUGAGGAAAGAGAAAAGCAUAUCUUCUCCACCAAAGUUCCUUCUAUUUUUCCCCGACUCUCCUCUACAAAAACACCAUAUUUCCAUCCCUAGAUGUCCAAUUGAAGAUCCAAAGGAGUUUCCAUUGAUGAUUGAAGCUAGAAGAUCAAAAGUGAAGAUUGAUUCAAGUCUGAUUCAUUGUCUCUUCAUUAAGAUGGUGGUUAUGUCUUUUUCUAUUUUCUCUUUUUCUAGAGUCAUGAGUAGCUAAAUCCUUAGAGUUUUAUGUCGGGAUGUAGGAUUUGAGUCAUGAUACUCCCUAAAAGUAUAGGGUCGACGAUUGUUGGAUAUUUGGAAUUGAAUGAAAGAUUGCUCUAAUUGUUGGUAUUUCAACCUUGUUCUUGUUAUGACUUGAAUUAGGUCAAAUCUAUUAAAUCCUCUAUUUGAUCGACUUGGGAAUUCAUAUGAUUAUCAAUCUAAGAUAGAAGAAAGCCCUUGAUGGAGUAAGCCAAUAGCUCGAUUCUACCUUUCGUGCUUCUUUUGGUUUUAAAGGUUGUUCAUCGAGUAAUUGGCGGGCGCUCUGAUUUGCACUUAAUGGUUCAAGUUGGGUGUAGUAAUCAGUAGCUUAGGUGUUGAUGGACCAAGUUAACACUAAUUCCAAUUACUUGUGAUUUCCUUUAAUUCAAAGAGAGCACCUUACCACAUGGUAGAACUUCUCGUUGUUCAUUACUGGUUAGCUUAUUUAAUGUUAUUCUAACCUUGAUUGGGAAACUGGUAGUGAUAAUCCGCGUGCAUGAUCAUGCCACGGAUUCAUACGAGUGAUAAGAGGAAUCGUAUUAUUCAAUAAUAUUCAAUCCAAGUCCAACGUUUGCUCGAGCCGACUACUAUUAGGAAGUGGAGCUUGCUGAAUCAUCCCUUCCAAGAACUUGUCUUCUCCUCUUGAUCAAACCUUAAUUUUUAUUUUAAUUGGAUUAAUAGAAUCAUUAGAAACCCUUCUCCAUUUUUUCAGUUUAGACCGUGUUGACUAGUUUGAGUAAAAGCAUAACGAGAGGAAUCAUUGGACACAUACGAUGCUUGUAUUGUGAAUUGGUGAUAAUGGUAGAAGCCUAGGAUCUUUGAUUGUUUCUGGUAAUGCAAGUUGGUACCCUGAUUGAACCAAAUAUCCGCCAGAUUGUGUCAAGGGCCAGAUUAGUGUAUCUGCUAUUGGUGCAAAAGGUAGUGGUAUUGAUAGAAUGAUAUGAAUAACUUAUGGAUCUAUUAAUUGUUCUAAAACCCCAAUAAUCCAUUAUCCAUGAUAAAUGAGAUCACAAAUUCACAUGCCGGGAAAAUUACCAUUUAAAGGAUUUAAAGGUUUGGGUGGUCUUGCUGGAAACGUUGGGAGCCAAGGAUCAAGAAAUACAUAUACUAGUGUACCAGGACCGAUUUUCCAUCUUAAGCCUUGUAAUAAUAAGUUUCUUCCUUGUAAAAUACUUCUCCAAUCCCAUGAGGGUUUGUUUCCAAGUUCAGUUGUCAAAAGUGAAUCAGAGUGAAAAUAUUUACCUUGGUAAAGUUGAUAAAGGAUGGAAUUUGGAUUUUGUAGGAGGUUCCAGCUCUAUCAAGCUAACAAGGGAUGAUUUUUAAGCAUGAAAAUCUCUAAAUCCAAGACCAACAUCUUGUUUUUAUCCACAUAGAUUUUCCCAUUUUAGCCAAUGAGCCUUACGGAUAUCAUCUCGUUGAUCACACCAAAAAUUUGAAAGACUUUUGUGAAGACGUGCAAUAUUGUCCUUUGGUAGUAGAAAAAAACCCAUGGUACAAAUCUGGUAAGCCCGAAAGAAUAGACUUAACUAGUAUUUCCAUUCCAGCCGGGGAUAUGAAUGCUCCACGCCACGAUUUGAUUUUCUUGGUGAUAAUUUUCUCGAUGUAUUUGAAGGAUGUAAUUUUGGAUCGUUGGAGUAUAGAGGGUAACCCUAAAUAUCGAUCUUGAAUAUCCAUAAAACUGACACCCAGUAUACUAGUGAAUUGUUGUUGAAGCUCGGGCGUAGUUGCUUCACAGAACCGUACUGAUGAUUUUCCUAAAUUUACCCUUUUCCCACUAAAUCGUUGAUACUGGGCAAAAAGAUCCAACAAUGCUUGGAGUUCUUCUAUAGAAACUCGUAAGAAUAAGAAAGUAUCAUCUGCAAACAUCAAAUGUGAGACUUCUGGUGUGUAUGAAUUUAAUUGAAUUCCAUCAAUCAGUCCUUUGUUCAGUUUCUUUUGUAUAAUGAGAGGCAAUUCUUAUGAACAGAUAGCAAACAGUAAAGGGAUAGGGGGUCUCCUUGGUGUAGCCCUCGAGAUGACAGAAAAUAUCCAAAAGGCUGACCCCUAUAGAAAUGCAUGUAUAUAUCUAGUUGGUCCAUUUCUCGCUAAAACCUAUGUGUCGAGAAAGAGCAAUUAGAAAGGACCAUUCAACUCGGUCGUAGGCCUUUUCCAUGUCGAGUUUGAGAGCCAUGGAUUUUUGAAUGGUGUCUUUUGAUCGUCCAGAUAGAUAAUGCAUAAUUUCAUGAGCAAUUAGGAUGUUAUCAUUAAUCGAGCGUCCGAGGACAAAACCAUUCUAGGUGGGGCUAACUAUGGUUCGUAGUAUCGGGUUUAGUCUGGCCAUUAUAAUUUUAGAGAUUAUUUUGGAUAGUAUUGUACAUAAGCCAAUGGGUCUUAAUUGCCACAUAUUUUCUACGGUAGGAGCUUUAGGGAGAAGAGUUACCCAAGUAUGGUUUAUAGGUCAUAACAUAUGCCCAUUUUGGAAGAAGUCAAGAACUGCUUCUGCUAUCUCGGUGCCAACAAUAUCCCAAAGGGUAUAAAAGAAGACACCUAGAAAAUCAUUCGAUCUCGGAGCCUGAUCCCCACCAAUAUUAAAAACUAUUAAUAGAUUGUUAAUUUAUCAAGUAUUAAUUUAUAGAGGUUUUACUGUAUGUUUUUUUCAUCUAACAACCAGACGACUCAUGGUGUAGGUUCUGCAGAUGAAAUAUGCUAGCGACUAUGUGACUAGAUUCUAACAAAGACACACAAACUCACGUUCAGCCAUCUGGCGUAGUAUGUUGGCAGAUAUGCCAUGUAUGGUGGAUGGUUCCUGCGCGGGUUUAAUGGACGACCGCAACACACUACAAGAAACUACACGUUUACUAGCAGCUUUUUAUCUAUUUUAACAGCGGAUAGUCCACUGUUAGAAAUCCUAACGACGAAUUUUCAUCCGCUGUUAAACUAUAUCCGCUGUUAAAUUUUUUGUUUAGUAAUAAAAAAACGCAAAAACCUAGUCGUUCUUUGUUUUACAGUCUUUUUUUUCUUCUUCUUCUUCUUAUUAGAUUCUUCUUUUUAUUCUUAUUAGAUUCUUCUUCUUAUUCUUUGAUUUUUCUUAUUUUUUAAUUCUUCUUUGCUUUUUCCGUUCUUCUUCGAUUCUUCUUUUUUUUCUUUGAUUUUUCUCCUUUUGUUUUUUCAUCUUCAUUGAAAGAAAGAAAAUGAAGGAAAAACAUGAAGAAAAAAUUUGAAGAAUGGAGGAUGAAGGAGAUGGAGGGAAUAGAAAUCAGAGGAGGGAAAAUUUGAAAAUUUGUGCAGGAGGGAAAGGAUUAUGAAAAGUUGGCGAGGAGGGAAAAAAA
Molecule: long non-coding RNA, 66628 nt
Filed under: Linum usitatissimum (flax)
Lineage: Eukaryota; Viridiplantae; Streptophyta; Magnoliopsida; Malpighiales; Linaceae
Description: long non-coding RNA (LUSI_LNC002567)
Source: RNAcentral